GUUGCCAUUGUAAACUCUAAUCGGAGAAAACACAGUUGAAGCAUGACUUUACUGCUAUAGUGGUGAUAAUUGAACCCCAAGAGAGAAAUUAUAAUGGAAUAGAGGAGGUGAUGAAUCACGAAAUAUCGUUUACCUGCUGAAGGCGUUCAAAUGACUAACCAUUUUUGCUUGCUUAUGGAAUAUAACUCCCUUACUUGAUCCCGCCAAUCGAUUCCUUCAAUCUCCUGGGUUUCCCCAAAUGUUCUCAAGCCCUUUGCUGAAGCCAUAUUGUUGUAACUCAUUCGCCUCUGGCAAUUACUUUUUUGUCCUUCAUCAUUUUUAAUACAGCUCAAUCGUAUACCAAGUCUACACCUUUUUACAUAAAUUUUAAGCGAGCUCCCUAUGUACCUUUGAAGAACAAUGUUUUACUAUCGUGCUUUGUAACGAUUUGUUCGACUGAUCAUUUUUGUAUUUUAUAUGUUUACUCAUUUUCUAUUGACAAACUCAAGAUAUUGAGAGGAAUCAUUUGUUAUCUGUUGCUAUCGUAUUUAUUUAAUAAAAUUAAUUUAUCUAGAUUCGGUCUAUGAAAUAUUUAUAGACCAAAUAAAUAAAAAAUAUUUUUUUGUUGAAAUAAGGGUGUCUUUAACUAUUCAUCAGAGAGAAAAUGACUGAAUAGAAAUUAUUUUUAAAAAUCUUUAUUUUCAUUAAUUUGGUGUAUUGAUAAAACAUUAUAAUAGAUUUAGACAAGUUUAAUCCUUAAUUAAAUCACACCUAAAUCUUAAUGGAUUAUAAAAGCAUGAAAAUUAAUUUAUACGUAGAAAUUAUUCUCAAAAAAAAAUGCGAGUAUUUGAUCCUUAUAAAUAGAGAAAAAUUCCACUUGAAAUGCUCUUUCCUUGUGGGCUUAAUACAGUGUGAGCAAGAUUGACCUUGGUCCUAAGAACACACGUGGUAAAACAAAAUAAAGUAAAAGAAUUAUACUUCCCUUCCCACUAACCUAAAUAGAAUCUAAUACAAUUAACACUAGGCUCUAAUCCGGAAAUUUGUGAGAAACACAACAUCCGUGAUGCUUGUUGGGAAAAUUGCUAUUUUUCCCGCCCUUCAGAUCGGCUUCAAGCAGGAACAAAUGAGAAAAUAAAAUAAUGACUGAGAAAUUAAAGAGAACACGAUAGUUUAACGUAGAAAACUCCUCAAGUGGAGAAAAACCACGGCCGUUGCCAAAUGACAACCAAGAAAAAUAUUCACUAUGUGGCAAAUUGUUACAACCACAAUUACAAAAUAUUUUUCUACCCAACACCCUCAAAACACCCCAAAUAUUUUAUACUCCAAGGGAUUCCAAAAGACUCCCUAAUAUAAAACACAUUCAAGUGUUUUUAGUGUAUUUUGGUGUGUAUGGAAACCUAAACAUUGCUUCCAUUUUAUAGCCAAAUCACUACCUUCACUUUGCUUAUCUCCCCGAUGUGGGAUUAAGCAAAAACUAAUUUUUUUAUAUAUUUUUUUUCUUUUGUUUUCAACAACGGCGGCUAACAAUCUUCACCUUGAAAAUAAAAUAAAAAAAACACAACAUUGUCUGCUACCGACAAUCAUAAUUCUUAUCGUCAAGAAUUAUCAUACUCCACCAUAAAAGAGUAUCGCCACUUGGAACCACUUUACCGACUCCAAGAAUUUUCCAUNNNNNNNNNNNNNNNNNNNNNNNNNNNNNNNNNNNNNNNNNNNNNNNNNNNNNNNNNNNNNNNNNNNNNNNNNNNNNNNNNNNNNNNNNNNNNNNNNNNNNNNNNNNNNNNNNNNNNNNNNNNNNNNNNNNNNNNNNNNNNNNNNNNNNNNNNNNNNNNNNNNNNNNNNNNNNNNNNNNNNNNNNNNNNNNNNNNNNNNNNNNNNNNNNNNNNNNNNNNNNNNNNNNNNNNNNNNNNNNNNNNNNNNNNNNNNNNNNNNNNNNNNNNNNNNNNNNNNNNNNNNNNNNNNNNNNNNNNNNNNNNNNNNNNNNNNNNNNNNNNNNNNNNNNNNNNNNNNNNNNNNNNNNNNNNNNNNNNNNNNNNNNNNNNNNNNNNNNNNNNNNNNNNNNNNNNNNNNNNNNNNNNNNNNNNNNNNNNNNNNNNNNNNNNNNNNNNNNNNNNNNNNNNNNNNNNNNNNNNNNNNNNNNNNNNNNNNNNNNNNNNNNNNNNNNNNNNNNNNNNNNNNNNNNNNNNNNNNNNNNNNNNNNNNNNNNNNNNNNNNNNNNNNNNNNNNNNNNNNNNNNNNNNNNNNNNNNNNNNNNNNNNNNNNNNNNNNNNNNNNNNNNNNNNNNNNNNNNNNNNNNNNNNNNNNNNNNNNNNNNNNNNNNNNNNNNNNNNNNNNNNNNNNNNNNNNNNNNNNNNNNNNNNNNNNNNNNNNNNNNNNNUGAAUCAACACGUCUUUGACUUGCACUUGCCACAGUGCAAAAUUCAUUCUCCCGUCAAAUUUCUCAAUCUCACAUCUCAUAGCCGACAUGCUUACUUGUGCUUAUAACAGUGAACCCAAUAAUUAGUGAAGUAAACCGAUUCGGCAAUACCCAGGAAAGAUCACAAUGAUCUCCUAGACAAUAUUACCAUUCCACGUAAAAUCUCAGUUGGACGGAGGGGUCACAAGUGGUCCCACUUAAAAUCCGGCCUUCUAGACAGAAGUUACGUGCACGGUAUAUUAUCAGAACUUUCGUAUCAGAAUAACUUCAAUAAUUAUCGUGAGAUCUUCACCACCGAUACUCAAGCACACCAAAGCAAAGCUCCACCUGCUUCAAGACUUCCAAAACUCCACCUGCUUUUAAAAUAAAAUAAUUUCUAACAAUAGUAUUUCUGAUGUGGAAGAUCAGACUAAGCCGCANNNNNNNNNNNNNNNNNNNNNNNNNNNNNNNNNNNNNNNNNNNNNNNNNNNNNNNNNNNNNNNNNNNNNNNNNNNNNNNNNNNNNNNNNNNNNNNNNNNNNNNNNNNNNNNNNNNNNNNNNNNNNNNNNNNNNNNNNNNNNNNNNNNNNNNNNNNNNNNNNNNNNNNNNNNNNNNNNNNNNNNNNNNNNNNNNNNNNNNNNNNNNNNNNNNNNNNNNNNNNNNNNNNNNNNNNNNNNNNNNNNNNNNNNNNNNNNNNNNNNNNNNNNNNNNNNNNNNNNNNNNNNNNNNNNNNNNNNNNNNNNNNNNNNNNNNNNNNNNNNNNNNNNNNNNNNNNNNNNNNNNNNNNNNNNNNNNNNNNNNNNNNNNNNNNNNNNNNNNNNNNNNNNNNNNNNNNNNNNNNNNNNNNNNNNNNNNNNNNNNNNNNNNNNNNNNNNNNNNNNNNNNNNNNNNNNNNNNNNNNNNNNNNNNNNNNNNNNNNNNNNNNNNNNNNNNNNNNNNNNNNNNNNNNNNNNNNNNNNNNNNNNNNNNNNNNNNNNNNNNNNNNNNNNNNNNNNNNNNNNNNNNNUUUGGAUAUAUAUAUAUAUAUAUAUAUGUUAGUUGAGAGCGUAAGAUAGAUAUAAGAAUUCUAAUAUUUAAAUUAUAAUAUUUUUGUUUGUAUAGGAAUCCUAAUAAAGUAUCAACAAAAUUAAAAGUUUUUUAAUUAAUAACAAUGAUAUUUUUAAUUAACCAAUAAAAUUAAAAGUAUGGCGUUUUAGGGACCCAAUGUUUCCUCCCCCCCCCCCCCCCCCCCCCCCCCCCAACCAACACACACAACCCCCCUUUCUCCCCCUCGGUAUUUUAAUUUUAAAUCUUAAGUAUAUCCCAGCAGUGCAGAUAUACGUGUACAGCACCAAACCCUAAUCCACCAAACUGUAAUUUCAAAUGCAAAUAUAUAUUGCAUUUUUUGCUCACAUAGAGUCGGAUCAAAUAUCUUAGUACCAAUAUUAUUAAUUAGAUGACAGUACCAUAUUUAAAAAAGUCUUGAAGGGCAUCAUAGUCAAACAAAAAAAAGGUAAUUAAGGAGGUGUGAAACAAAAAUUGCAGUAUAUGGUGCGAAUUUGCACCUGCAAAGCUGUUUAUUUUAGCUAAAACAACAACUUCAUGUAUGAACUUUCGGCAAAACAACAACGCCAAGGUCCCUUUCCUAGAUCAGACUCUCUCUCUCUCUCCCUCUCUCGAAGAAAAGAAAAAGAAAACUAAAGUAAGAAAACUAUCUUCUUUCUUUUCUUUCCUUGUUUCUCUGCCUAUAGAUAGACAAAGAAAGAAAGCCCUAUAAAUAGGGUAGAGAGAGUGAAGUUUAAGCACUUCGGCUUCUUUGGGAUUCUAAAUUUUCCGAAAGCUGAAGUGGCCGGAGAGUGACCAAAUUAAACCCAGGUCUGUGUUCUCUUUCAUCUAAAAAUACCACUGUUUGCUUUCUUGUAUAAAUAAGCAAUAAAUUUUUAUUUUUGAAUUGUUUAAUGCGGAACAGAAUCUUCUUCUUUACCCUAGAUGAACAUGUCUUCCCCUAUCUGUGUUUUCUCUUCAUUUUUGUCAGUACUCAUCCCCUAAAUUUGCUUGAUAUAACAUUAUUCCUUUUCGAUCUUCUUUUCCCAGCUCCCAGAAAUUUGUGUGUUCUUCUUUUCCUUUUGCACCUGGGUGACUUGAUGGGCUUUCUCUACUUUUCAAACUUUCUUCAGCUCAUUUUCUUGUCUUUUGUUUUCCCCUUUUAUUUGUCCGUCAGGGUUAUAAUUCUACCCGAAAAAGAAAUACUAGUUACUGUUUUAGAAAGAGAGUAUAUAUAUAUUUUUUAAAGAGUCGAGUUUGAUCUUUGAGAUUUUUCAGGCUAUACCAUUUAGCCUGCGGAGUCACCUUUGGGCUGAUCUGUCGAGUUGAUUUAUCAUAUAUAUGUAAACGAGGAUGAAAAUACGUAGCCAAACAUGGUCAAGAAGAAAGACAUAAAAAGAGAGACAGAUGACAGAAAAUGGGUCAUGCACCCAUUAAUAGUACCAGAAUUGCUGCCAAAAUCUUGUCCAACUUAUGGUAGAUUCUGAUCUGAAUUCUCUCAGAUGAUGUGUACCCAUUUUGCUUGUUAUCAUUCUUCAUAUCCAUCGAUGUCUUCUGGGUGGCUUACAUCCAUCUCCCCCACGUUUCUUUUCAACUUAACCUAUUCUUCAAGAUCUCUUCUUUCUUUCAUUAUAAUUAUUAUUUGCACCUUUUUUUUUUUGACAAAAAUACCGUGGCUUUCAAUAUUCAUUUUUAAUACAGAUCUGCUUUCAUUUCAUCUCGUCCUGAAAAUCAUGGUUUUUUGGGGUACUUUUAUUGCUAAAUAGUUUCUACUUUCUACAACACAAGAAAAGAAAAAUAAAAAACAACGAAAAUAUUUUGCUUCAUGAUCCCCGAGACAGUUGUCUUUGACAGGCACGGGAUAAAUAUAAAAAUGUCUUUGCAGAAAGAUAAAGUCCAUCAACAAGAAUAAUUCAAUCUGUUGUUUUUGAAAUAUGUAAGUUAAUACAAAGUGAUGAUCUAAGGUAGGCAGGCAUGGGAAGAGGAAAGAUCGAGAUCAAGAGGAUAGAGAACACAACGAAUCGUCAAGUGACCUUUUGCAAGAGGAGAAAUGGACUGUUGAAGAAAGCUUAUGAAUUGUCAGUCCUUUGCGAUGCUGAGGUUGCCCUCAUUGUCUUCUCCAGCCGUGGCCGCCUCUAUGAGUACUCGAACAACAAGUAAUUAAAUUACCUAAUAUUUAUUUUAAGUUUAUUUUUAAGAUCUUUAUACAUAAAAAUAGAAUCUUUAUGCCUCUUUAAUUAAUUUGAAGACAGAGAACUAAUUACUACAUAAAGUAGCAAUCCAUGUGAUGUGUGAGUUUAGAUUUUGACCAGAUAAUAAUUAAUUAAUAAUGUAAACGCAAAAUUUCAAGAGAAGCACCCACUAGCUGCAGUUGAUUGAUAUAUAUGUUUUGUUUUCCUUUUAAGCGUUGUAAUCUUAGGAAAAUCCAUAUGAUAUAACAUAUAUAUAGUACAGUGUAAAGUGUUGGCCCUUGAUUAUUCUGCUAGCUACUACUCUUCCGUUUUCAUCGCAAAAAUGGUCGGCUUUUCUUUCCUGUUUUAGCUCUAAAUCUUUCAGUUUGUCCUUUCCAAUGGACCUGAAGUUCUACUUGCAGACAAACUAAUAAGGCACUCCAUCCCUUUUCUGGCUAGGGUUUCUAAAUAUUGCUACUAUGAUUGGCGCGUGAAUGCAACCGCUUCGAAUUUGAAUGGAAAUACCCUUCUUCUAUCACAUCUUAAAAUUUACUAAUGGCCCUGUGAUUAUUCCGUUUUGAUCUGCCUUUUCAUUUUUUUUUAAAAUUGCUUUCCUUUCCCUCCUAUAUGCUUUAACUUCAAAUCAAGUUACGAGUGAACCCAAACAGUUAAUAUAGGAGAUAUAUGUAUAGAUUUCCAAGUAAUUAGCUGUAAAUUAUUAACGUACAUAUGUAUCAUUUCAAUUUGAAUUUUCUAGCAGGCGACAUCUAUAUAUAAAUAUAUCGAUCAUCUCUUUAUUUGCCUCAGCUGCUUCAGUCCCAGUCUCGUUCACAAUUGAUAAGAUAAUAAUAAAGUGAAAUCUAUUGAUAUCUCUCAUCUUUUCCUCUUUCUCAUUGUCUAUAAAUCUAAGUUUCUCUAUUCUCCUGUUUCCGUUUUCAGCUUUCAAAGUUAUUUCACUUUCUCUAACCAAAUCUACAACUUCACUUCUCUUCACCCUAAGAAGAUUGCUACCUACGUUCUUUCUGCUUUCUCUUCUUGUGAAUGAUCAGACCAUUAAUGAAGAAAGUGGAGUAGUACAGAGGUGCUUUCUGCUAGCUAGGGUUUCUCCAUUUUAGUGACAGCAACUCAGGUAGGAUACCUUUUUUCAUUUUCAAGGCCCCCUUAAGAGCGGAGCUGCGUGUGGGUUGACUUCUGUUGGAGAAAUUCUUAAUGGACUACCCUUACAAAAUUUCCUUCUUUUUUUCAAACAAAAAAAAAAAAAAAAAAAAAAAAAAAAAACCAACAACACAAAANNNNNNNNNNNNNNNNNNNNNNNNNUUUUUUUGUAAAAAAAAAAAAAAAAAAAAAAAAAAAAAAAAAAAAUCCACAAAUCAGAAUGAAAGUCAUUGCACAUACAAAAAGAAUUAUAAUGAAAUAUCAAUAUCAGGCAUUAGGUAUUUUACCAUUAGGAUUUGAGAUUUAGGAUUUAAAUAAUGCGUAAAUAUUUUCUUAAGUUCUAAAUAUGUAAAUAUUUAACUAGUCCAAAUAAUUGAUUUCAUUAAAAUACAUAUUUAAGGUUUCAAAUUCAUGAAUCCAUCGUAAUAGAAGAAUUCUUAAACUUAAGUUUCUCUUGAUUAUAUCAGUUUUUAUCAAUUUUAUGAGUACGUAUCAAAUUAGUGAGAUAAUUUAUAUAGAAUAUAUUAUUAUUAGUUUAAAAUUAUUAUUUGUAAUAAAAUUUAUAUUCGGAGUAUUAUUAUAUUCUGGGAAAUUGGUGAAGAUACCAUAAAAUUAAACAAUUCAAUCGAAAAAAGAGAGAAAAAAAAAAAGCAAAUUCAACCCUGAAAAAAUGAAAUUUUAUGACAAAUUAAUAACUAUUAAAAAAAAAAGGAGUACUUUUAACUUAAUUGAAAUUAAAAGAAAUAUUUUUCUUUCUCGUGAAUUCCAUGAUUUUUACAAUGUAUUGUCUUUAAUUUAAUUCAGAAAGUAUGCAUAUUUAAGAUUAAAGUGAAAUAUUUAUUAUUUGUCCUCAAUGCAGUGAGCUAACAAAAACCUUUAUUUGAUAAUAAUAUUUGGAUAAAAUAUUCCAUGAGCAUUAUAUUUUAUAUAGUAGAAUCUUAAGAGAAUUAGAUGCUAAAGUUCUAAAUGUGAAUUUGUGUUGAAUGCAGUAUAAAAUCAACUAUCGAGAGAUACAAAAAGGCUUGUUCAGAUAGCACAAAUGCAAGCUCUAUUACAGAAAUUAAUGCUCAGGUAAUCUUUUAUUGUUAACAAAAUGCAUUCACAAAUACCUUAAUAUGAACUGAUGAGUAAGCUUUUUCUUUACUAUAUGGUGGCUCCAAUAUAGUAUUAUCAACAAGAAUCAGCAAAGCUGCGGCAACAAAUCCAAAUGCUACAGAAUUCAAACAGGUAGUCUCUUCUAUUCUCGGCAGUCACAUUUCUCUUUCUUGGACAUGUAAUAAAUAUAGAGAGAGCUUUGCCUUAUAUCUUCAUUUUGUUCUUUUAGCACUUUAAUUUGAUUAUUGUGAGAAAAUGAAAUUUCCUUUCUCCUUUUCUUUUAGAGUGGUAUAAAGCACUGAUUAUAACCACGCUUCCUAACUAAAAUGAAACAGCAAUUAUUCACAUAUUUCUUGAAUAUGAAGUUAUAGUUGAAUAUAACAGUGAAGAAAAAGCCACCUUUAUAGAUAGAUAUAUAUAUAUAUAUAUAUAUAGCAAGAUUAAUGCUUCUGGUUUUUGGUAACUAUAGGCGACAUGAAUAUCGAUUAUGAUUAUUUCACACACUUGAUGAUAUUUUCUUCUUUAGUUUUAUUGUACGUAAGUAUAUAUGUUUAGAUAAAUAUAAUGCUUGAAGGGGAAGCACAUGCCAAAAGCUUAAUUUCAUUACUUCUUUGUAGGCAUCUAAUGGGUGACUCCUUGAGUUCCCUAACAGUGAAGGAGCUAAAGCAGCUGGAGAAUAGGCUUGAACGAGGCAUUACUAGAAUCAGAUCAAAGAAGGUAAGCAUCAAUUCAUUUAUGUAGUUGAGAUAAAGGCUACUUACUCACAUCCACACCAAUAUUGUCUACAUUCCUUCGGGAUUUUAUUUAAUCUCCAUAUACUAUUUAUCGCGCAAAUCAUCGCAUGCAGCUGCGUUUUCAAUUUUCCUUCAUGUUAGCAAGUAAAUUAAUUAAAAAAAUUUGAUGAUUUUAGAAAUUUGAAGGUUAGAUCAAGGACAAAGUUAGUAAGUGUUGUUGGUUUGUGAUUGAAUCGUCUUAUUUUAGAGACCACGUGUGAGAUUUUUGGAGUCUUUUAUAGCCAACAGAUUUAAUAGAUGUUCAAUAGCUAACUACCACUAUACAAAUACCAUUUUUCAUGCAAUGCAAGGUAUUGCAAUAGCCAAUAGACAUAUAAUGUACAUUAUAUAUUAUAUACCUUGUUUAAUUUUUCUGUUGCUUAUCGUGUACGACAGCAUGAAUUGUUGCUGGCUGAAAUUGAAUACUUGCAGAAAAGGGUAAUUUCUGUCUUGCUCUAAUUUUUCCUUUUUUGUUUUUACACGCAACUCUUUUAUGUCUUUAAACUUGCUUAUUAUAAUUGUUAGGAGAUUGAGCUCGAAAAUGAAAGUGUUUGUCUUCGAACCAAGGUAAUAUAUAUAUAUAGGAAACUAAAUUCCAAUCUGUAUUGAUAUAGUAACCUUUCUAUUUUCUAAUGAAGAACCACAUACUUUCUGUUCAAUAAAAAAUAAAAUAAAAAACUUCAGAUAGCAGAAAUUGAGAGGCUUCAGCAAGCAAACAUGGUAACUGGGGCAGAGCUGAAUGCAAUUCAGGCACUAACCUCUCGCAAUUUCUUUGGUCCGCAUAUGAUUGAGGAUGGAACUGCCUACUCUCAUCCCGACAAGAAGAUUCUCCAUCUUGGGUAUGCAUCUUCUUUGUCUAUUCACUACGUUCUGUCCAAUAUAUAAAUUGUGUAUAAAUAUUGAAACAUUAAUCAUUGUCGAUUGCAUAUUCAUGCAGGUAAUCACUAGUAAUGUCAAGUGGGCCAUGUUGGAUUGUUAUGUAUUUUGUAAUUCGAAGAAUAAAGAUACCAAAACUCUAGUAUCUCUACGUGAUGUGUGUCCCAAUUAAAACUGGAGCUAGUGUUCGUGUAUAGUUCCUGCAUGCUACCGCUUGCCUAUGGAACUUACCGUGUCCUCUACCAGAUUGAAGACGUGAACAUGGCUAUGUCCCUUAUAACCAGCGUAAUCACUGGUUCGCUAGCUGUCCAAGAUCAGUGAUUAUGCUAGUUUUCUAAAAUGUUUGUUUGUUUGUUUGGUGUGAGUGAUUUCUCUCUUAUAACUAUAUAAAUUGAAGUAACGUACUAACUCAUACCUUUUAAUAUUCUGGAUGGAUAUCAUUGACUCGUGUUAUUUUACUAGUCCAAUACUCCAGCAACAACUAAGUCUUAGUACAAAUUAGUUUGAAUCGACUAUAUAAAUCUUUUGCUAUAUCUGCCUGAAUCCAUAAUAGCAAGAAAAGGCAAAACGUAAAAAUAUGCACAUGUUGGAAUAUUAAUCCUUCAGCCAAAUCAUGGUAAAUAUUUACAAGAGAUUUAAAUCAAAUGAUCCAAUCUCAAUCUUUCGUAGCAAUAGUUCGAUAAUCCAAAUACGAAAGCUAGACAAAACACACUUAAACAUUUUCAUCACGCAAAAUAAAAAUAAUAAUAUUGAGCAUACUGCAUCACAGAAUGUUGCAUCGACUUUCAGCCUGCCUACGGAGUUCCUCAGUCUCCUUUUGAGCUCUUUCUAAAUUCUCUCUAAGCCGGCGAAUUUCAUCAUUUGAUUUCAUUUGAGCUAAUUGUGCAAUCUCUUCUGCUUUUAGUCGGGCAGCUUGCUCCUCUGCCAACUGCUGCUCAAGCCUAUUUGUUGUCUCUCUAAGUUUUGACUCAACCUACAAGCAACAUGGAAUCCAAUUUAGUCAAUGAAGUAGCAACAUCUGGACCAACAGUAUCAUGUUGUGACAGAAAUAAAGCUGACAAGAUUAUCUUUAUGUUAUCAGUCUAAACACCAGGGAAUUAAGAUAAAUUUAGGGCUAAAAACUAAUUGAAAAAUGGCAAGUGCAAAUAUAAUUUACAAGAAACACUACCAUUGUCCAUCCAAAACUUAAGUUGUAAAUCAUACGUACACACAGACCAAUAAUAGUGAUGCAAGGUACACCGACAAAAAGCAGGAACACAACUCUAUUGUAUUUCUUAAGCAUCUUCCCUCACAUGACACAUGCUUCUGAACUGAACAGUUCACAGAAUCCAAAAAAUAAGGUUCUCCAAUAGAAUUUCAGUCUUAUUAAAAAAAAAAACUGAAAAUGAUACACUGGCACUAGCUACCAUGUCAUUUAUAACAUUUGGAUAUUCUUAGGAUGAUAAAGAUUUCAAAAUAUUUUCAAAAACAAACACAAUCCAACAGGAAAAGUCAUGAACACAACAAAAUCAUGGAAUACCAUCUCAGUUAUUCGUUUCAGCUGUUCUUCAUAUGACUUGUGCAUCUGCUCCUUUAGCUCCAAUAUUUCUCGUUUAGUAUAUCCUUCCAGGGAAUCAACCUCUUCUUGUUGAUCACGAAGUUUCAUCGCUCCUUUCUGUCAAAUCAAUUAAGUCACCAUUGACAAUUUUACUCUGGAAUGAAAUAAAAUUAGCAAAUGUCACAGGUAUGCUCACCUUCAACUCGACAAAUAUCUCAUCUGUAUAUGGCUGUCCACCAUUUUGUGCCAUGACCAUAUUUACAAGGAAAAGAAGCUGUUGAACCUGUUCAGCUCUCUUAAGUUCAUCUUUGGUUUUGUUAUCAAAAAGCACUAGUCUAUUCUUGCAGAGAUUAAGAAUUUCCUGCACAGAUAUUACAACUGAUUGAGAUACUAAUGUUGAGAGUGUUUAACUUCCUCGUAAUUUUCAGCCCAUAAAACAUAAACUAAUUGUACAAACAAAUAGCUAGGUACUCAUCACAUGAUAUCCUACCAAACUCAUUUUCCAGUAGUGAGAUUUACAAAUUUUAUGAGUUCAAAAUAGUACGAUCUGUGAAUAGUUAUGCAUUCAAAUGAAAGGUUCCACAUAGUUCCUCUUCAAGAAACUAUCUGUAAGAUCUGCAAAUAGCUAUGCAUUCAAAUGGAAGGGUUACAUAUAGACACUCUUCAGCACAAAAUAUCUAUAAUCAAUCCAUGAUGUGCAUGUAGGAAGAUAGAUUUCCAAUAAAUUUUCUACUAUUUCAAUGCAUGUAUUCUGUCUUAAUUUUUCUUAGCCUAGAAUCCUUGUCCUCAAGAAUUCUCCUUCAUAGUUCCAACUUCUGGUUUAAUCACUUACUAGUUUCAUCAAUUAGAAUAAUAUCAUAUAUAAAUAAAUUUAACUAUAAAAAUGGCAAAUCAACUAUAUUGCUACAAUUCAGAAAUCACCUUUAAAGGCUGAGGACAUUCACGACCUAGAUAAUCUUGUAAUGUCUCAUCGUUAUCUUCAAGCUCAUCUCCUCCAGUGAAGACUACAAUCAUGUAAUCAAAUAUCUUGCUUCCAAACAAAGUCUGCAAGCUCCGAAGUGCAGAUUCCUCUUCCUGUGAGAAGCGUGUUCGAACUGAGAAUACAACCAGGACUGCAUGGAUCCCAUCCUUUGCCAUGUUAAUACAUUUGACAAUUUCUUUGCCAACAAAAUCAGAUUCAGCAGAAAAAUCGAAUAGUCCUGCAAUUAUAAUCUGUCAGUUCCUAUGCAUCGCUGAGAUAACAAUAAGAAAAAGACUAAUGGGUGCUGUAAAACACAAAUCCAUCUCAUCCAGUUCAUACCAGGAGUGUCGAUGACAUUGAUAAUCUGACCAUCUGACAUCACAGUUCGCUGUAAUUCGCAAGUACUAGUAACACCAGAUGAACUAGCCCUUGAUUUGAAGGCCUUCCUUCCAAGGAUACUGUUGCCUGUUGCACUCUUGCCAUUCCCUGUACGCCCAACUAAAACCACUGUGCGAACCCCAUUGGAUGGUGAAGUAAGCUCCCAGUCAUCAUCUAGUGCACUUCCACCCAUCAUGCCAGAUCAGGUAACCUGCAAAGUGAAAUAUCUAAGACACCUUUGGGCGAAGGAAUGUCACAGGUCCAGUCAAAAAGUAUCUUUAAACAAUAAAAUGUUAGCCCUAUAUAAAAUCAGGCUUGGUUCCAAGUCGAAUCUCCAUUUUAACCGUAAGUUACACAUGUUAUAAUCAAAAAGACACAGACCACAAAGCUUCACUCCAUCAAGAAUCAAGUAUUCACAUUGAACAGAAAAUUUAUAAGAAGAGAUAAUCAGGGCAGACACAUGAUAACUUUCAACAGGACGGAAUAAAAAACCAGUCAUCAAAGCACAGUGAUCUUAUAAAAUAGGAUGCCGCUAAAAUUCACCAGAUGAUUCCAUCUUGUUCGUAGUCAUUGAAAAAAUGUAUUCUUUAAUAACUCAAUCAAAAUCAGAUAAGAAAGCAGAUAGAGAUUUCGAAUUACAUGCUCUCAAGCAAGACCUAGUUUCAAAUAAAUCGACAACGCUAAUUCUACUAAGAGAUUCAAAAGUUAAGCCUUUUGGUUUUCUACCUUCCAUACAACAACAAAACAGAGACGAACAAAAUUAAGAUAUCAAAAAGAGAAUCCAAGCGUCUGUCGAUUGAAGUGAUCAACAAGAAAUGCAUAAUAAAUUAUUGCUUUUCGAAAAAAAUAAAAUGCAGUGAUGAUCAUAAGAUUCUUACUUGGGAUGACAAAUUUGUGGGAGUCGGAGAUGGAGAAGGGAUAAAGACUAAAGAGGCUGAGUUAAAGACAAAUUGAACCAGGAAAUUUCUUAUUGGACUGGACUACUGCUUGACCUCUUGUCGUGCACUGGAGUAUAGCCGAAUUGAACCCUCCGCAGUAUCUAUUUACUUCAACCGAAGCAAAUCUGAACCGUUGAGAGCCUCGAAGUGCUUUGUGAUAUCCAAGCCAACCGCCUAGAUUUACCCGGUUUAAAGUCCCAAGUUUAGAACCGCGCACUCUCAAGCCCAACUCAUUUUAAACACCGACUUCAUCUUCUACUUUUUCAAAAAAUAAAAAAAUAUAAAAAAUAAUUUUUAAAAAAUUGGAGCACUUGAAACCUGAAAGAUUAUCAUUUUGGAGAACAAUAAAAAGUUGUUAAUAAAAUUUCAAAUUGCUGGCCUUGGAGAAUAAGUUGGAGAAAUUAAGAAUCCAGUCCAAGUAACAGACAGAAAGGAAGGGGAACGAAGGUAUGUGCUUUGGACGUUGAAAGUGCGCACCGAAAGAAGACGCGGCAGUUGAACUAGAGGAGACAGAUUGAAUGAUAAUGAAAAAGAAAGAGCCUUCUGAAAGGACCAGAGUGGUUAUAAGGCAUUUGCCUCCUUCUCUCUCCCAAUUUCAUCUCUUCUCCCAAUUCGAUCAUCUUUUCUCUCAACGCUACAAUUGGUUCUGCUUUCGCCCUGCAAAGUUCAGGUUCCUUUUGUUUCAUUAUCAAAUCACGCCUGUUAUUUUCUCUUUACCGUCUUGGGUUCUUGUCUAAUUCAUUUGAUCCUUUUUUUUUUUUUUUUUUUUUUUGAGAUUUGGAGUUUGAUUCUUUGAUUACCCAUGGUCUAGUUAAUCCGUUAGAGCUGAUUAUUUGAGUUCGAUUUGCCUCAUUUUACCAGUCUAUAUGGUUGGCUGGUUGGGAAUUGGAUCAAUGUAAAUAAUUAAGGUUGACGAUGUUUCGGCAUUAGUAUUUUUUACGGAUUCUACACAAGACUUAAAUUUUAUUAUGAAUUUUCUGAAAAACUCCUUGCAGUCAGAAGCAUCAAAGAUAUUCUCGAGCCUACAUAGACUUCAAGAACCCAGGAGAUGUUUUGGAGUUCGCAGAUAUCUUCCAUGGUCAUAUAUUUUACAAUGAGAGGGGUACUUAAAAACUUUGUGGCUGAUCUCUCAUUCUAUGCUUUACCAAGUAAACAAACUACUGUGAGGUUCACCUGGUUUUACAGUAUGGAAGCAAUGGUUCCUAUAACAAGCAAAAUAAUUGUUACAUGCGACUAUAUUGAUGAUUAAGAUGUUAUUUUAGUCGUGGUUCUUCUUUCAUUGUUUUUUCCCUUGGGAAAUUAAUUUUGUGAUUGAAAUAAUUUAUAUUGAACGCCAAAGGUUAUUUAUUGAAAAAAAGGAAAAUGCAUCUUAUAUUAGAAUGUUGGAUUUUGUGACAUUGAUCCUUUACUUAUUGUUACUUUGAACAUCAAUUGAAGCUUAAAAACCUGAAAAUUUUUUUGCUAUCACUGAAGGUUCUCAGUUCAAGGCCAUAGUUGAAUAUGCUCCUUCUCAGCGUGUUCCUAAAACUUGUACAUUAAAGGAUGAUCGUGAUGGGACCAUUUAUAAAGGUAUUAUUUCCUUUCAUUUCUUGCUUGCUUCUAUUCCUCUUGCUCUUUUCUUUCUUGAGAAAAGGAACUGGUAAACUUUUUGAACCAUUAUUAGAUCUAUUAUAUGGGAAUUUUGUAUAUUAUUAUUGAUUCUCUCGUAUUGCUACCAUUAACUUGCAUGUUACUAAUGAUUCCUUCUUGAAACUAGAUCCUGAUUAUCUGGAAUUCCUCAAACUUAUUGCAAAACCAGUUGAGAAUCUUCAUAGUGCUGAACCUCAGUUGGAAAGAAAAGAAGCAGAACAAUCCGGUGUGUCCAUAUGUUCACUUGCCCGUCAUAUUAUAAUGCAUCAUGUCAUUUAGUAUUUUUAUACUGGGGAUUUGUUUUCUCAGGAAAAAUAUUCCUUUUAGUUCUAUCUCAUAAAUAAAUUUAUUUAUUCCACAUGACAUUUUUUCAGCUUCUGCGAAAGAAUCUCCUGUUACGACACCCCUGAUGGAAUAUGUUCGUCAGAAACGAGCUGCUAAGGAUGAAAAUCAGGUGUGUUGCAUUCUGAUUUCUCCUUUACUAUGCAAAACCAAUUGGCCAGUUUUAGGCCCAACACCCUCAACUUUUAAGUCUUUGCAUUUUUUUGCAUUGCUUUACAUUUUCCAAUUCCCUACACAAGGGAGAUAAAUGGAAUGCAUAAUUUUCAGUUUAAUACGUUGAUACCAAGUUGUUAGGUUAGGUUCCACACUCAUCAAUGAUAUGGAUUAAUUCUGAGGUGCAGUUCCUAACUCUUAAGUGUGUUGUUUGGUGAGAAAGUAAAUGAGAGAGUAGGAAAACCUUAGAGAAAUUGUUGAAAUUGGAACACGGAUAUUAAAGGAAUUUUGCGCGCCCUUGCAUAUACAUCAGAGUAUUUUGGUACAACUUUAGUCCCUAGGUUCUACAGAAGUUGUCAACUGAAGAAUAACUGAUUGCUGACAACUUCUGUAAAUGUUUUUUAUCAAUUCAAUUACUCUUGCUGAUUUAAAACUAUAACAAGGAGAAUGAGUAAUCUCUGAAGUUUGGUGAGGUAAUCAUCUCAAUUAUAACAUCAUAUUUUAUGUUCAUGUCAACUUUGUUUUCCAAUAUGAUAAAUAAUUUGAUUUUGAAAUUUCUGAUUUAUGACAGGAUGCAUCAGCUGGUCUCAAGGAUAACAGAAAAGCUAGGUCAGCAUCUGUGAACAAGCCUGGAUCAAGUGCUACUAGAAAAGGUGCUCAAAAGAAAAAGGUGCCUCCAGAAUCAUGUUUUUGGUAUUCCUUUGAGUAAAAUUGAUAGUGCAGAACUUUAAUGUGCUUUGGAAAUUAUAGCAUAGCAGUUGUGCACUGGAUUUUCUUUCAUGAUUUUGUGUUUUGCUUGAUUUGAUAUGAGGUCACUCGUCUUUAACAUUAAACAGGUAAAUCAUUUAUUCAAGGAAAAUUUAAAGCAGGUAGUUCUUAUGCAAGUUGUUCAUAGUUUCACAAUAGUAAGCCCACUUCUUUCUUGACAAAUGGAUUGGAAAAUUUUCAUGGUGUAUAAGAUUGUUAUCUUUUCCCUUGUUUGGGCAUAUCAUGUUGUUAUUAACUUUUUUCUUUGCUAAGAAGUGCUCUCUCUCUCUCUCUCUCUCUCUAUGUAUAUAUAUAUAGACACACACAAACUGAAAUUCAGACAGCGGUUUGAGCAAUAGUUCAUCCAGAUGGUUAAUUCUUGUUUAUCUUGCAUUUAUCAGCAAAAUUUCCAUUGCAUGCCAGCUUGGGGAAUGUUGUUAUCUUCUUAUUUCCUAUUUGAUUAACAGCAUAAUCUGAAGGGCAGUGCAAAGAAUUCAAACCACAAGAGCAAAUCAACUAUCCUUGCGGCACCUAAUCAAGGAGAUCAACCUGCUAAUCAAUAUGGAAAAGAAAUAUCAGGAAUUCAAUCUGGUAUGGACACACACAAACUGAAAUUCAGACAGCGGUUUGAGCAAUAGUUCAUCCAGAUGGUUAAUUCUUGUUUAUCUUGCAUUUAUCAGCAAAAUUUCCAUUGCAUGCCAGCUUGGGGAAUGUUGUUAUCUUCUUAUUUCCUAUUUGAUUAACAGCAUAAUCUGAAGGGCAGUGCAAAGAAUUCAAACCACAAGAGCAAAUCAACUAUCCUUGCGGCACCUAAUCAAGGAGAUCAACCUGCUAAUCAAUAUGGAAAAGAAAUAUCAGGAAUUCAAUCUGGUAUGCGUUUAGGCUUGUUGUAGUCAUGGAAUUUUGUUUGCUAAUAUUCGUGUGUUUAUUUAUGUUCAUGUUGACUAUAUCAGAUGUCAUGCAAUCAUCAUUAGCCACAUGAAAUUUGGGAAUAUAUUAAAGGAUCUCUUUUGUGUGUUUAUGUUUUCCAUAAUGCAGUCUCCAGUGUUGGUGGUCAUGUUUCAAUAUCUACUUUGACUGGAGAUUCUGGAAAGAAAAGAAUCCCGCUUCUCAAAGGGAAAGAAUAUGAAAUUUCUGCUGUAAGUUAUGUUUACCUUCUGCUUUCCCGUUGCUUCUUCAUUGAUGUUGUCCAUUAUCUGCCAUGCUACAGAGAUUUUUAUGUGCACACUUAAACACAUAGAAUAUAUAGUUCUAUUAGACUUAAAAAAUAUUUUGUCUUUUCUGAUUCAACCAGUGAUACAUUUAGGUGUCUGGAGGUAUGUUGCACAAGCCUGGAAAUCCGGCUGUUGCCAUUUCUCAUAAACAAAACCAGAGGUUUAAAACUAAUGAAAGACUGGUAAAGGGCAUCCUCUUAAACAAGGAAGCGCAUAAAAAUCAACCUUUGGCUGGCAUACAGCCCUGGCUCAAAUUUCAAAAUUCAAGUUUGAAGAAUGACAAGCGAUCACCUUGGCCUAUCGACAAACUAGCGGGUUCUAAUGGUCAUCUUCCUAAUAUUGAACCAAUUGCGUCUACUUCUAAUGAUGAUGUAAAACAGACUUCAGAUGGCAAGUUCUUGACAAGAGGCAGGCAUAGUUUAGCCUCUUCUACUGAAAAACAAGAGAAAAGUACAAGAAAUAACAACAGACCAGAUAAUGGAGUGUGGACUCCUCUUGGUCAUUCUGACGUUCAAUGUGAUAAUGACCAAUUUACAAAUACUAUGUUGCAACAAAAGCAUUCGGAUUCUGUUGAAGGUAUUAUAUGUAAUUCUGUCUGCAGUAUAAUAUUGUGCUGCGCGAAAUAUGGAUAUAUGGAUGCAGCUGUUUACUAUUCUUUAGUGGAAACAUGUGAACUCAGUUUAUAUAUCUCUGAUUUUCUAAUUACUAGAGGAGAAAAGAAAAAUGACAUGCAUUUUCAGUAGGCUCAGCAUUCCAUUUUUGAAUGUUAUGGCUGGUGUUCCAUUAGACCUAGUUUCUCAUACAAUGCACAGGCACACCAUUUAGUAGAAAAUCUUUGUAAAUAAUUUAAAUCAUGCUGUUCCCCCUUCCCCCCCUUUUUGUGUGUGCGGGCUGGCAGCAGUCAUGGUGUAGCUGACAGCUUCUAGAAGUGUGAAAUUGUUUCUUGACCAUUAUUUAAUGGUUAUGAGUUGCUCAUAUGAUUCUAACAAUUUCAUUUGAGUUUUACUUAUCCAGGAUCCCACAAACGUUUUGGACAUCAUGUGGCAGUCCAUAAACUGAAGGAUAACAGCUCCUUGAUUGCAUCUGAGUGGAAAUACACAAGAAGAGGAGGAGCUAGUAGCUAUGCUGUUCAUGAGGUCUACGAAUAUUUAUGUUAAGCAUCAUGAAUCAUGUUACUCUUGUACUUUUUGUCAAUUUGUUGAACUGUGUCUAUGUAUUUGCAGAAACAAGUGUGGGUUCAGAAAUCAACUUCUGGUUCGUGGACUAACUAAGUUGGUAAGCUUAUAGCUUUUAGCCAAUUGGACUUGAAUUGAGUCGCUUAUACACUUUAAGACUCUCACACUUAGUUCCAAAUUAUAAAUAUUUUUAGUUAAUAAUUUACAUUAGGUUAGCGGGAGUAUCUCAACUGUGUGAGUCGUGGUGUUGUUAUUUGAUUAUAGGUUUUGGAUGUGAAACUCCCAUCUCAGCUGUCGUCUCACACUCUCUACAAGUGACCUAGUCCGGUGUUUGUGUAAGAAACAGUACUGUGUGCAAUCCAUAAGAUUCAUGCCUACAUCUUUUGGUCUUUUAAAACCAGGGCCAAAAGCUUCCCUUUGGCAGAUUAAACUAGAAAAUGAUUUCUUUUUCCUCUAUUGGCAAAUAUGGGAAAAAGAAAGCUGCUUGUCUUUUCUCAGUAGUAAGAUGUCAGUUCUGGUGGAAAGUCAUGUUAUGAUCUUUUUGUUAUUGUACUUCAGAUGUUGAUGCUGUACAACCCUCUGAUUCAGGUGAAGACUCCACUGUGAUAUUGUUCUUAGAUUCUCUUGGUCCACAUUCUGUCAAUGAUAGUGCACUGACAUCUUCUCCCGAUUGAGCACUGGGUGUCUGUUUUCUUCAGACCGAGUACCCAAAUACCUUGUUCUUCAUGGUUUGUUAUUCUACAUGUCAAUAUUAUUAUGUUAUUACCCAUAAUGGGAGAUCCGUAAUCUGAUUAACUUAGAAGCGUUUGUAAGAUUUGGUAGAGAUUAUCUAGCAGAGGGAUCCAUUGAACAGAGCAGAUCCAGUGUCAAAAUGCACUCGAACUAGCAAAGGACUUUAUUUGCACCAGGUUAUCAAGAAUGUUGAUAUUCUUCGUGAGGAAAACUCAUAUCUUAUUUAGCUGAAUGCAUUUGCCUUGGAACUAUAGAAUAUAUCCCUUGUAUUACAUUUGAAUUUAAGGAUGAAAUUGAUUCGUCCGAUGACCCGUCCUGAUAAUGCAAUAGGUUUUAGCUUGCCAAGGACAUGAAAAUGAAUGAAGAUCUUGAGAUUGAGUCAAUGUUUUCUCUUUCAUUUUCUUUUACGAGGAAUUUUCUCAUUUUAUUUUGUGGUCAUUUUAUUUUGUUUGACCACAAGGACGGUGAAACGUUCAGUCCUGAGAUCGGGGUUUUUAGGCUAUGUUCGAUAACAGUUUUUUAAGUAACAGUUAACAUUUGAACCAAUCAAAAUGUUAACUGCUACUUAAAAAGUUGUUUGUAUUUAGAGAUUAUGAUAGCGUUUUGUGAAAAAAAAAAAAAUCAACUCAUAUAACGGUUAGUUUUUAGCUUUUAGUGUUUCAUGAAAAGUUAUUCAAAAUAAUUAAUAAUUAAAUACUAUUAAAAUAAUUAAUAGCCACCAAAAUAAUUAAUUUUGCUGAACAGAUUCACAGUGGAUAAACACAUAUUUGGUAAUCAAAUCAGAGUACAUAUUGAGAUAAAAAGAUUUGUGGUUGCGACACAUGCUGUGGAGGCAUAAAAUAAUAUUAUUGCUAAAUUAUUCAAUGCCAAUCAAUUAUUUUCUCCCUUUCACAUUCAUUGUAAGUGCACGGCCAGUCUAGAAUUUAGCAAUAAAAAUGCAAAUUACUGUGGGAAGCAAGUAACAUAAGAAAUACAGUAAAUAUUAAAUUAACCAGCAUAAAAGAACAUAAUGAGGUGUGAUCCCCUAGGACCUCAACCCAUACAUUUUAAUUCUAUACCCACAGUUUGCAGGAUGAAGAACUAACUAAAAGUAGGAAAAAUUGCCCCGACGUUCCACAAUUAAUAUAGCCUAACAUAUUUUAAAAGCUAUGUAUAUCAAACUGGAAAAAGACAGAUAACUUAUCUUAAUUCCUCAAAAUAUGUAUUCUAUGGAAUUUGAGCAAUUUCCAGUAAGAUUUUGUGCAGCGACUGUGGCUUUGAAAAAAAGGGACAGUGAUCACUUCCUUUAAUCUUGAAGACUCCUUCUGGUGGAUUUUCCCUCACUAACUUUUCUUGGACAUCCGGUGAAAGAGCAUGAUCGUCCAAUGUUUGAAUGAAGAACCGCCUUCCAGCUCCAUAAUUUUCAGGGGAUAGUGAGAGCUUCUCCAUUAUAGGACCCAGUGGGAUGGGUCUCAUACAAACCAUGGCCAGAGCAACAUCCUGAGGAUUACCAAAUACUAGUUUGAAUUUUACUAGCAAUAGUAAUAGGACAAUGAAGACACUACUGAGCCAAAUUCGAUCCGAGCCCAUACUAGGUAAAGCUUUUCUAGACUCAAACAGUUUACCACUUGGGUCGAUACAUACCCCAUGCAUACUUUUAUUAUAAAUUAAAACAAGAUCCAUUUCCUUAAUGUGAGACGACAAAGAGAUCAUUCAAAUUAGUUGGAAGGAUCAUGGGCCAAGACAGGCGAUAUCCCACAAAAGUGAAACUGCUUCUAGUUGGAGAUUAUGUGUAAAAUAAAAGGAUUACAGAAACUAAUAGAUUUCAGACAAAGUGAUCAGAUUGAACUUGAACAUACCUUUGUUGAUGAUUGAUUGAAAUAUAAACCUUUCAUUUGCUGUUUCUCGAACAUAAAUCCUGUAGGAGGCUUGUCUCUACCAUCCCCAUAUAUCAAAAACUCUGAUUCUUGCAUGAAACGUUCAGCAGAUCCAAGCUGAAAACACUUCUAGUGAGAACUUAGAGACAUAGAAUAGCAUGAAAUAGUAUAGAGGGAAAAAAAAUGUUGUGAUGUUUAAUAGCUGAAGUAGUUUAGUCCAAAAGAGAAGCUAUUCUACAAAUUAGUGGAACACACUCGAUGGCCUAUGAAUAGUUAUUUCAUUCUUUCUCUAUUUUUAUUUCACAAACCAAAUGGAACCCAAAGUAUGUGCAAGCCCAGCCACCAAUUAAGUCCAAAAUUCUGAAGUUCUGUGAAUAAUUUUCAGGAAAUCUAUAAGGAAGGUGACCAUAUGAGAUUUUGGAUAUUGAGAUGCAGGGAGAAGUAGUUAGAUAACCCAUUAUCAUAUAAGGUCCUAAAAGCUUCAAAAGCGUGUUAAGGGAGGCAUCCCAAGUUAACUUUUUCAUUUUAGAAAAAGAAAAAAUCCUCUACAUAAGGUUACUUGAGCAAAUUCCUUUAAGAAUGUGCCUUCAGUGAAGACCGGGGUUACAGGCUAUGCAGCUACUUUCCUAGGAGUGGAGUCAUGUCAUAUACACUAAGGACGCUGUUGAGUAUGCAAUAAUACUGUACUGAAAAUAAACUAUGUGCGCAAAAUUUCAAAGAUCAAGACGAUGAUUUCAAGUAGUUACAUUGACUUGUUAGAAUUGCACAUCCUACUUGUUUUUUAAAGUUAAAACAAAAAUUUCAAAAUAGUUACUCAGCUGAUUCUACUCUAAUACGGUAAGAAUACAAUCCAUAAUUCACUCAUCUUUUGAAAAAACAUUGCUACCUUGCAAACUAUGAUUACUCUAGUGGAUAGAUUGUCUUAGAAGCACGACAACUUCAGCAACCAACAAGAAACUUCAAUGUUGACUUCUUAUCAAAAUAAAGACCUUAAAUUUUCUUUUGACAAAAUAAGUUUAAGAUGAUUCACUGGAUGAUAACAUGGAAGCUCUACCCCACACAUUCAAUGGAAAUAUUAGGAUUUUGCAAUUAACAGCAGAAAUUUGCAUUAUGAAUACUAAGAUAAGGUAUUCUCGAUGUAAAAAAUCAACUAAUUAAAUACAUACAGAAUCUAUCAAACUAUUUGAGACGCAGUUGACUAAAUUCAGAUGACAUAAAACAUUGUAAUGGCAUGGCAUUGUAAGUUUAACUACCAUUAACCGGUUUCUAUUUGGACUGGCAAGUAAGCAUGACAAUGUACCUCUUCAGCAAACAAAUCAAAAGGCCUCUGACCAUCAGACACCAUUGUAGCACAGAUAAAAAUAGCUUUUGAGAUCUUGUGUGGAAAAUGCUCUAGUGCAUAUGAGAUGCACGCACCUCCACUGCUAUGACCAACCAAAAUAACCUGCAUAAGAACUAUGAAUCAAGAAAUUUUGCAAGGUAUAAAGUGGCCGAGUACUUGCAUGUUAAGUCACUACGAUACCAUUUCAAUCCCCAACCUUUUCAUCCUCAGGAACAUUUUCCAAAUAAUCAAUCAAAGGUUUUGAAUAAUCUGCCAACGUUGCCACAGUGUUUGUAUCCGUCAGAUCAAUACCAGAUCCUAUUAGGUCUAUAGCAGUGGGAACCAACCCUGCUUCUUCUAACAGCGCAAUCGUUUUGUACCAACACCAAGCCCCAAACCCUUCUCCAUGUAUUAGAAUAAACUUUUUUAGCUUGAUACUUUCCAGAAGGUCCGGCACCUGUAAAGAAGUAGCAACACAAACACAAAUUUGCAUAACCCCAUGAAUUAACCUUUAUAAACGGGGGGCUUUAAAGGGAUUCAGCCGCUUUUCACCAAAAAGGUCGACAAUUAUGAGAGUGGGAUUAGUUACAUAUGUUGUGUGAAUUAUCUAUUUUAAUUAGGAAACAAACCAGAAACAUCUGAAAAGAGUUACAUAUUGGCUCAUCUUUAAAACCAUAAAGAAUUACCUUUUCCAGUUUCCAUACUUUUCCUGAUGCAACCUUUUUGAAGUGUUUAAAAAAGAAAAAGAGAAAAAAGAAUACUUUUCCCUCCUCCAUUUUUGUUUUUAAAUACACAUAUAUAUCACUCUCACGUUGAAACUAGACCAUCUUUAUAUACCUUGUCUUUUAACUUUACACUUGAGCCCAUAAUUAAUCAUAAGACAAACUUUCAGUUGCAGAGUACAGAUCCAAUCAUGAAGGAACUAAUUUCAGACAGACAAAAAGAAAUAAAAUAAGUAACAUGCAUAAAAUAAGGUGUCCCAAUCAAGACCUGUUUUCCGUUAGAGAAAGGAUCAGAUAGAUUUCGUCUUCGAGAGCUGGUGGAGCCAAUCCUCCUGGACAUGGAUCCAUCAAAUCUCUGAGACAAUUGGUGUUGAUGAAUUGCCAUAGAAAGAGCUUGCCUGUGCAGGAACUCUUCCUCUGCCAACAACUUUCUCUGGGACCUGCCCAACCUCUUGCUUCUCGAUCCAUGAUUAUCUUUGGCAUCCUUUUUUGUCAUGCAAACGAAACGAUUCCCCAUGAUUGUAUAAAGCUUUAGCCUUUGGGGGGAAUUAGAGAUGUAAGAUUGAAGAAAAAUCAAGAGAUCGUCCAAGCAACUGAACCAAGUACCAUAGCUUUCUGCAGCAAAGUUGAAGACUUUCAGGGUAUUUCUUACUGACUUUUUCCUUCUUUUUUUUUUCUCUUUUUUUUAUUUUGUCUUUUGUGAGUUUGAGAUUUGUUGGGAGAGAGAUUAGGUGAGAAUGAAAGAAGAGAGGGAUGGAAGAGAAGCUUGUUUGUUAUAAAUGCAAAAAUAAUAAUAAUACUAAUACUUAAUAAUACGAGUGAUAGAAAGACUUGAAAUUCUGAAAACCGCAAGUCCCCAACUGAAUUGAGCUGCUAUUUAAUGUCUUUCUCUGUUCGCUUGGCUGUUUUCAACGGCAGGAGAGUGGAAACUUUUCCAUUAGUGACACCCUUUUCUUUCGUUACCUUUCGCUUUGUUCACGCAUGUUUCUGUCAGUGUCACCAGAGCAUAUCCCUCCUAUACUAUCAAAUUUUAUCCUUCAAUAGAUUUAACAAACUAAAACUCACAAUCUUGCCUAAGUAGCUCGCGUGUUUCUAAUAACAAUAUUUUCAUCUCAAUUAACAAUUUAAAAGUUAUUUUUAAAAUUUUCUCCGAUGAAUAAAUGAUUGGUAAGAAUUAACAAAAUCAUGUUUUGCUCAGUGAAAGAAGAACUCAGGUCCUUUAAAUAUUGAGUGUUCCAUCUUGUUAAUAGAAAAAUCUAUAUCUUUUCUCUCUUAUGAAUCAAAAAGAAAGAACCUUUAUAUAUAGAUUGAAGUAGCUUGGUCGGACAGGAGAAUGUGAUUUUUUUUUCUUUUCUUUUUUUUUUUUUUUUUAACUUUUUAGCAUCUUUUUCUUUUCUUUACAAAGUAAAAAAUGAGAUCAGUAAAUUAGAAAUAACUGGAAAAAUUUUAGAAAAUAAGCCAGACACGGGGACAUUUUUAAAUAGAAUAAUUAUCUUAAUUUGGAGGAAUUCAAUUAAGAUGCUUAAUUCAUACAAUCUGAAGAACGAAACUAGGAGAUAGGAAUGAUAUGAAUAGGGAAGUCUCCGUCCACCAUUUUUUUCUGAGAGCCAUGACUAUGUACGGGAAUAUCAAUGCACAAUUAUUUAUUACUCUAAAAUAAACGAAUUUAAAAAAACCUUUUUCAGAAAAGAGCUGCAUCAACAAAACACUAGGAGAUCCAACGUCUACAAUUAUACAUUAUGAAUGUGAAGAUAAUGACAUAUUUAGCUUGUCUCAUUAAUAAGUCAGCACCCCCUUCUAAUGGCCAACCUCUCCUGAUCAUCAUUCCAAAACCACCAGAUCUCUGUUCUGCUCAUGGAAGAAUCAAACAAGGGAGCUAAAAAAGACAUAAUCAGAUAUCCAUGAUGAAUAUCAUAGUUGCCAAGUUGUGAGCUAUAAAUUAUGACCAAAGACAAUGAUGAUAUCAAUUACUCAAAUUUAAUAUAACUUUCUUGCUCUUAUCUACCAGCGCUGUGUAAGCCUUAACAAGCUCCUCCUUAACCAUGAAAAGCACAGAAGCUGCAAAAACACUCUGUACUAUCUUUGUGCUCAUCCCCUUAUAAAAACCAGGCAACCCUUCAUAACGGAUCAUUUUAAUUAUCGCAUCAAGAGUACCUGCAUUUAUAACAUCAGAGGCAUCAACUUCCUUUGUUAUAACAAAGAGGAGGGAAAGUGAAAAUUGUGUGCUUCUCAAAGUUCAACCAUGUCAAACUGACAAUCCAAAGGGGAGCAAAAGCAACUGAAGCUGCAGGCUGUGCGAAAAUGAACUUGCAACUUCAACAGAUUAAUCCAUGAAUUUCGAUUAGUUAUAUAAUUAUGGCGAAAGAUGACACAUGGAGGAGCAAUCCCUUAAUUUCCAACAAAUUGAAAUAUGACAAGAAUUAGAAAUGCUAAUAUUUUUAGGGAAAUCUACAAGAGUGGAAUUUGUUGCUAACCACUAUACAUCAUUGACUUUCAAGUUUCAACUCAUAGCUCUAUCUUUCACUAGGCACCAUAGCAAAGCAUAUUUUUCAGAAAAAAAUAAAGCAAGUACUACAUGUAUCUAGAUCAAAAAAUUAAUAGGAGGAAGUAAAAAAUACAAAAACCAAUUUAUUAUAAGAUGAGAACGAAGCAAAGUUCAAAAGACUAAAAAGUUGAGUUGAUGUGCAAUAUGUGUCAAAACUUAUAGAUAUUUAUAAAUGGCCAAUUAUGUGUGCCUCUCUAAAGCAAACCUGAGUAUCUCAUUGAAGUAUUUCCGCCAAUCUCCUGUUUUGCUUGAAGUCUCGACUGCAAAUGAGGCAACACAGAAAUAAGAGACUUGAGCUAUACAUACAGAGCAGUGUUUUGUGUGUGCAUGUGUUGUCCCAAAAGUUAAAAAGAGUCCGGAAGAGCAAUCUGUAGAAAAUCAGUUUCUCAAAUACAUGUUAAUGCAAGCAGGAAAGUCAAUAUUAAUUCCUGAUGAAAACAAAGAACAUGAGCAUCUAUCUAAGGACAGCCUAUAAAUCUUGUGAGUUAUUGCAAAUGAAGAUGCCAGUGUAAAUCUUUUAAGAUAUUUCACAUGACAAGACUGAUGGGCAGGUAAAUUAUAUCCAAUAUUAUAUAAAAGGAGCAGCUAUUUUUCUGGUUUUGGCAAUAACGACCGGUGAUUUGUACUCAUUCUCUUCAUUAUAGUUUUAUUUUUUAAUAAUAAUAUAAAAUAAGUGAAAUUACCUUGACAACCAACAGGGGAUAUGUUGAGACAGUUGCUCCCAGCUUUGCCAAGGCUCCUAGUAAGAAGACCUUUACGCAUCGCAAGAAAUUUUCUAUGUUCACAAACCCAAAUAUUUUGCAAAAGACUGACAUAAGAUUAGAAAAACCUGAAACACUGAAAGCAACUACAUACCUGUAGAGCAGUAGGAUAUUUAUACCCCCGCUUGCUUGCGGAACGUCUUGCCCUUAGAUGCUUUAAUGAUGUCUCAUAAAUCAUGAACUGGAUCGAUGGAUUGCAUACCUAUGAUGCAUAAUUCCUAAUCAUAACAGGAGUAACUCAGUGGACUUCAUACAUAAUGGUGAUCAAAAUUGGGCUAACCAUAAUAAGCGUAGGAAUGAUGCCUUUCCAAAAUCCAGUAAUUCCAGCUUCAUUAUAAACUUCAUGUGCCUUGCAAUACAUACAAAUACAAGACAAACUAAAAUUAGCAUCUAAAACAUUAAAACUAACAGCAUGUUUGAUGUGAGAAUGAAAGGAAUGUAUCGUUAAUCUGCAUAUAAUAGAGUGUGUUGUUUGCAAAAAAUCAUGACCAGUAUUCCAUCAAGGUUCACAUAGCAAGGGAAAAAGAAGACUAAUAAGAACCAUGCCAUCUCAAGUUCAAUGUAAAUAAAUAAGCAUGAAUGGAACAACAUAGGAUCAGGAAAGAAAUGGUUACUAACCGCGUGUAAAGUACCAUAAGGACGAGGUUUUGUUGUGUCAAGUUCAGCCAAUUUGACCUGUACAGAUGGACUUAUUGAGCCACCUUCAGAAACUUCCCUUAAUAAAGCUUCUUUCUUUCCCUCCACAAUUUUUCUUUCUGCUUGGGUAUGUGUCUAGAAUCAAAAUGUAGCAUGUCAAGAAUAAUCUCCAUUCCACUCCAACAUGUAAACAUAGAAUCGAAAGGUUGCAUCAAUGCAAUACAACAAUAGUUGAUAAAGCAUUGAAAGAAUAUGAGCUCAAUCUAGUCCAUCUGUCUCAGAAUUAUGAAGCAAAAUUAUAAUUGUCAAUCAAUUGAAAUUCUGGUGAUGGUACAUCUGGUCAUGGAUACCAUGGUUAUAUACAGGUAUCUAGCUAUAUAAAUGUUUCGACAGCCAGUAGAGUUUCAAUUACAUAAUAUCAUAGUAAACAAAUGAAAUCCAAUCACUCAAAAUCAGAAUAAAACACCAGAAAACCCAGCUCUGCCCACCAGAAUAGAAGCCACGCAAUGUUGCAGGUGGGUACCUGUAUUGGCGUCAUCUUUUUAUGUUACCUUGUUUCUUCAUUUGAAUUGGUGUGCAAUUGUGUCGAAAAGUGACAUUCAAGAUAUCUUAUUUUGGUGCCGUGCAGUCAGAAUGCACAAAGGAUCCAGAUUAUGAACCGAACGAAGAAGUGUAUGGUCCAAAGUGGUUUUACACGAAAUCACUGGAAAAAUUAAAAUUAAAUCCAAGAAAAUAAUUGUAUUUAUGGGAAAAUAUCCACAGGCACCUGCAUACGAGUCACAAGAACCCAUAUUGGGUUUGUCAGCAAUACAUUCAAUGACCUGCAAAAUUAUGAUAAGAAAGAGUCAGACACCAUUACCUCUCCUUAUUAUUGCUAAAGCUGGGUACAAUCCUAAAUGCAAUUGCAAAAUAGCUAUGUAUUUGUCCUUGAUAAUGGUCCAUCUUUGACACUGUCUAAUUAAUACAAGCAGCCACUAAUUAAGAGGGCACUCACCCAGCUAAAGCAGCCACAACAAGCCAAGAAAACAUGCCGACAGUACCAUCUCCACGCCCUUUGGCUUUGUGAGCAGCUGCAAUGGCCUCAGCCUUGUUCUUGAAAACUUGAUAAAAGUAGUAAUAAAUUCCCUGGCAGCAUGCAAAAGAAGGUUAUAGGAUUAUGACCAACAAUUGAUCAAAUCCAAAAAUAAUCUAAAACUUUUUAUUUUGAACUUCUUAUAAAAGGAAAUGGCACCAACUAAUUUGGAAUUAAAGCUUAGUUGUCAUAGACAAUGUCAGCAAAAUUUAUAGGAAAAGAGAUCUUUACUGAGUGGUCAUUUCCAUCGUAGAUGGAUUUGAACUGGGCACGUUUUUUUUUCUCUGACACACUAGAUGUGUUGUACUUGUUCAGUCAUUGCAACAUGAAAUCCCUCAACGAGCUUUACAAGAUUAUUAAAGCAUGCAAGAUCAGCAGCAGAUGUCAAAGAGAAAUUGACAGGACAAAUCAUUAACAACUACUGCAAAAGGAAUUUCAGUCUCUGGCCUCGAAUGUUACAUGAGCACAAAGCAUCUAAAAGUGGGUGUAAAAAGCAUUACUCAUAUCCAAGUGCAUUAGUCGUUAAAAGGCAAGGCGAUCUAGGAAAUGCGAGGUUAAUUUGAAAUUGAAGAUAAUCGUUACAGACUCACAGUAGGAUACAUAUAUAUAACAUUGAAAUGAAUAUAAAAUGUGGACAAAGAGGAACAAAGUACAGAAGCAAUACGAAUUUAGCGACGCAGGACUGACCUGAGAAGCAGCAGUUCCAAACAGAGAAGGUUUCAGGCCGCUAUAAAGCCCACCCCAACCUUCGGCUUUAAUGACCUGGUAAUGUAAAACUAGGAUCCAUUAAUUGGACAUCUGAAAUAUCAAAAUAGAAUAUCAAAUUUCGGAACUAUUUAAGUUCAAAAAAAAAAAAAUCCUGGACUAGUUUGUUGGGUAAAUGGUACUUGGUACCUGAAGUACUUGGAAAAGAGUGCCAGUUGCAGGGCGUUGAGGAUGAGAAUCACCGUGUAGGCCUUCAUCAUCCUUCCUCUUCUUCUUGGCCAGUCUCUCCGUUUGCUGGCGUGUAUUUACCUGGAAAUUUUCAUUCGAUUAAAAAAAAAAAAAAAACACAAACAAACAGACACAGAACAGAGGAUAGAAAGAAAGAGUUACAGUUUGGAGAGGAUAAGUGAUUAUCUGGGCAAUAAUACCACCACCAGCUCCCGCUAGGCCAUUCGCUACUGCGUCUGACUUUGACAUGCUUUUCAGCUCAACGACUUUCUCCUCUCCUCUAAUUCCUCCCCUGCUGUGUUGAUGCUUUAUUAUAUUGAUAUUAUUAUUGCAAAAACGGGCAAAACUGCGGUAUAAAUUAAAACUUUUAAAUAUAAGUCAUAGAUUUAAAAAUAUUUAAAUAACUUUUUCAUCUUUAAAUCAAAUUACAUUUACUUAUUAUUAUUAUUUUUAAAAUUUAAAGGGACAUCAACACAUUAUAUCAAUUAUUUUUUGCAUUAUAUCAAUUACUUUUUAACGAACAAACAAUAAAUAUAUAGAUAUUAAUUAGAAAUUUCAAUAUUCAUAUAUAACUUUUUAUUGUAAAUUUCAAUUCAUAAAGAGUUGUAUAAUUAUGAAAUUUCAAUUAUCAACUUUCUAAAUCUCUCUUUAUAUAUACAUAUUUCUAUUCCUAUUUUUGUUUAAUAUAUACAUUUUUUUAAAGUCCUAAUUUUAUUGUAUUUACAACUAAUUUUGCAUCAUUUAAUUUGAAGUGAAAUUGGUUGUUAUGUUUUUAUAUGUUGUUAUAUAAUUAAAGAGCAUUUCAUAAUCUCAUUUUUAAUAUUGUAUAUGAUUUUUUUUGAAUAAAGAAUAAAUUUAGAAUUAUGUUCUAGUCAAAAAAAAAUAUUUAGAAUAUAUAUGCAGUCUUAAAAAUUAGGUAUGACCAUAGUUCAAUUUCAAAUCAGAACUGAACAUUUGAAAUCGAACCGUAAUUGAAGCCGUAAAUUUAAAGUUCAAUUCCGGUUCUUCAUUUUUUGAAACUGAAACUGGCGGUUCCGGUUUAAAACCGUGAAAAACAUGUUUUUAAAGAAACACCCAAUUUAUUUUUUUAUUUUAUUAUAUUUUUUUUAAGUAAUUUCUAAGAAUUUUUAUUAAAUUGAUUUAGUUUUUUUCAACAGUAAUAUUUAUUUUAAUUAUUUAUUCUACCUAUAAAUCUUUAAAAAUUAUUUUAAAAAUUUUAAAAUAUAUUAUUUAAUUUUGGUUCGAAAUCGAAAAAAAAUCGAAAUUUGCAGUUUCGAAACCGUCUGAGAAACCGUUUAAAAGCGGUUCAGUUUCGAUUUCACCUUUUUUAUAAACUGUUAACUGGAAGGUCGUGCCUGUUAAAGAUAAAUAAAAGUUAUUUUAAAGAAAAUAAAAGAAAAAUUAAUAACAUAAAAAAUUAUUUUGUUUGGAAAAAAAGAAAAGAAUAAAAGAUUAUUUAAUGGCUAUGGCGGUAAUAUUAGUUGAUAUGUUGAGCUGUAACUUAAAUUGUACACUAGUAAAAGCAUAGUUUGAGGAUUAGAAUUUUAUGUUGUAUACUUAAUUAAUAUGUUAUAUUUUGGAUGUAAUUUUUAUUUUAAAUUUCUAAUAAGUUUAAUUUAAUUUUCAAUUUUUUCAAAUUUAAUAAAUUACUUUUUCUAGUAAACUUCUAUAAAUUACCAUUUGAAUUCAUUUAGAAACAUAAACCCCACAGGAAAAAAAAAAUAUAAAAGUUUCAUUUUCUAGAAAAGCUUUUUGAAAAAUAAAAAUAAUGUUCAAAUCAGUCAAUUUACUAUGUAUAAAUUUAUUUUCUACAAGUAAAGCACACUUUAAUUGUAAUUUUUUUGGAUGAUCUACUGAGUUUAAGUCUUUUCAAAUUGAAAAUAGAUAUACAGAUACAUGUAUGUGUGUGUGAAAUAUCCCGAAUUUUUAUUUUCAAAACUUAGGAAAUUUUAUUAAAUCAAAAAUCUGAAUUUUUGAUAGUAUGGGUUGUAAAGAUCGAGCAAUUCUAAUUUGAGCCCAAAGUUUUACGAGUUGGGCCCAAGCCCAAAUAAAAUGUCGAAAAUUUCGAAUCGUAAACAGUUAAAGUUUUCGAGAAAUAAUAUAAAAUCCCAGCGAUUAAUAUAUAUAUAUUUACCCUAAAAAAACAAAUCUCCUUACUAAUUAUAGUUUAUUUUUAUUUUUAUAUUUUAUUUUGGUUAAAGGAGGAAAUGUUACAGAACUUAAUUAAAAUAAUCAAAUGAAUUGAACCGGAUUCAGAAAUCAAAUUGAUUUUUCAAAAACCACACGAAUAAUUGGAAAACCAAGUGAAAANNNNNNNNNNNNNNNNNNNNNNNNNNNNNNNNNNNNNNNNNNNNNNNNNNNNNNNNNNNNNNNNNNNNNNNNNNNNNNNNNNNNNNNNNNNNNNNNNNNNNNNNNNNNNNNNNNNNNNNNNNNNNNNNNNNNNNNNNNNNNNNNNNNNNNNNNNNNNNNNNNNNNNNNNNNNNNNNNNNNNNNNNNNNNNNNNNNNNNNNNNNNNNNNNNNNNNNNNNNNNNNNNNNNNNNNNNNNNNNNNNNNNNNNNNNNNNNNNNNNNNNNNNNNNNNNNNNNNNNNNNNNNNNNNNNNNNNNNNNNNNNNNNNNNNNNNNNNNNNNNNNNNNNNNNNNNNNNNNNNNNNNNNNNNNNNNNNNNNNNNNNNNNNNNNNNNNNNNNNNNNNNNNNNNNNNNNNNNNNNNNNNNNNNNNNNNNNNNNNNNNNNNNNNNNNNNNNNNNNNNNNNNNNNNNNNNNNNNNNNNNNNNNNNNNNNNNNNNNNNNNNNNNNNNNNNNNNNNNNNNNNNNNNNNNNNNNNNNNNNNNNNNNNNNNNNNNNNNNNNNNNNNNNNNNNNNNNNNNNNNNNNNNNNNNNNNNNNNNNNNNNNNNNNNNNNNNNNNNNNNNNNNNNNNNNNNNNNNNNNNNNNNNNNNNNNNNNNNNNNNNNNNNNNNNNNNNNNNNNNNNNNNNNNNNNNNNNNNNNNNNNNNNNNNNNNNNNNNNNNNNNNNNNNNNNNNNNNNNNNNNNNNNNNNNNNNNNNNNNNNNNNNNNNNNNNNNNNNNNNNNNNNNNNNNNNNNNNNNNNNNNNNNNNNNNNNNNNNNNNNNNNNNNNNNNNNNNNNNNNNNNNNNNNNNNNNNNNNNNNNNNNNNNNNNNNNNNNNNNNNNNNNNNNNNNNNNNNNNNNNNNNNNNNNNNNNNNNNNNNNNNNNNNNNNNNNNNNNNNNNNNNNNNNNNNNNNNNNNNNNNNNNNNNNNNNNNNNNNNNNNNNNNNNNNNNNNNNNNNNNNNNNNNNNNNNNNNNNNNNNNNNNNNNNNNNNNNNNNNNNNNNNNNNNNNNNNNNNNNNNNNNNNNNNNNNNNNNNNNNNNNNNNNNNNNNNNNNNNNNNNNNNNNNNNNNNNNNNNNNNNNNNNNNNNNNNNNNNNNNNNNNNNNNNNNNNNNNNNNNNNNNNNNNNNNNNNNNNNNNNNNNNNNNNNNNNNNNNNNNNNNNNNNNNNNNNNNNNNNNNNNNNNNNNNNNNNNNNNNNNNNNNNNNNNNNNNNNNNNNNNNNNNNNNNNNNNNNNNNNNNNNNNNNNNNNNNNNNNNNNNNNNNNNNNNNNNNNNNNNNNNNNNNNNNNNNNNNNNNNNNNNNNNNNNNNNNNNNNNNNNNNNNNNNNNNNNNNNNNNNNNNNNNNNNNNNNNNNNNNNNNNNNNNNNNNNNNNNNNNNNNNNNNNNNNNNNNNNNNNNNNNNNNNNNNNNNNNNNNNNNNNNNNNNNNNNNNNNNNNNNNNNNNNNNNNNNNNNNNNNNNNNNNNNNNNNNNNNNNNNNNNNNNNNNNNNNNNNNNNNNNNNNNNNNNNNNNNNNNNNNNNNNNNNNNNNNNNNNNNNNNNNNNNNNNNNNNNNNNNNNNNNNNNNNNNNNNNNNNNNNNNNNNNNNNNNNNNNNNNNNNNNNNNNNNNNNNNNNNNNNNNNNNNNNNNNNNNNNNNNNNNNNNNNNNNNNNNNNNNNNNNNNNNNNNNNNNNNNNNNNNNNNNNNNNNNNNNNNNNNNNNNNNNNNNNNNNNNNNNNNNNNNNNNNNNNNNNNNNNNNNNNNNNNNNNNNNNNNNNNNNNNNNNNNNNNNNNNNNNNNNNNNNNNNNNNNNNNNNNNNNNNNNNNNNNNNNNNNNNNNNNNNNNNNNNNNNNNNNNNNNNNNNNNNNNNNNNNNNNNNNNNNNNNNNNNNNNNNNNNNNNNNNNNNNNNNNNNNNNNNNNNNNNNNNNNNNNNNNNNNNNNNUCGGUUAAGCUAUGUUCCUUCGUCGCAGAGCUAGAAAGAAAAUUUUUCCUAGACCAAUAAAUAUUUUGCUAUGUAUCUAGAUAUAUAAAAAUCUAUGUAUAUCUAUUAGUUAGUGAUUCCGCAGUUGUAGAAUUUGCGUACAAUUAGUCGUGUAUUAACAUAGACGAUAUAAUUAUGUGAGCCCAUAUUAAAAAUGUGAUGUACUAUUAAUUGGGUCCGAACCGUGGAAUGUUGUAGCUGAUAAAUUUGGGCCGAGAUUUAAAAAUAAGAAUUGAGGUUUAUUUUUUUUUAUAAUAUGAGCUGAAUGUUUGAAAUUUAUAUUGAAAUAAUAAAUUUUAGUGAUUCAGGCUUACUACGGGCCUCGGGAGCCUUAAGCUUACCUGGGCUCUAGUGCCGGUCCGGCCCGCGGAAACGGGUCGUGACAGUGUGUUAUUAGUAAUUUAUAAGAUAUCCAUAAAUUUAAUACUGUCCAUUUACCGAUUGUAAAAAUGCCCCCAUAAUGCAGAGCCAAAUAUUAAUAAUAUAAUAAUUUAUUUUAAAUAAGGCUUUGGACUUUAGAACAUCAAAUUUUAUUUUAUCAUUGAGUUGUUGAAAUCUUUUUGAAGGUGAAAAUAGAAAUUAUUAUUAACUUAAAUAAUUCAGAAUAGCAUGAAUAAUAAUAUUAGUCGAGACAUGACUCACUUUCAAAUAUCAGACAUUCAAUAAAUAAGAAGAUGAUGUAAAAUUAUAAAUUAUUAGUUAAAUUAUGAUACUAUCUAUAUAUGAAGUAUACAAAAGGACAAUAUUGUAAAUUUGUAGUGAUAUAUUUUCUUUCUUUUAUUUUCCUUCAAUCUAAAUAUAAGGAUGGAAAAUAAAUAAUAAACAAGAGUUGGACCAAAUUAUAAGGUAAAGCCAACAAAUAGUAAAAUACAAAUAAAUUUAAAUAAAAUAUAGUUAUGGUAAGAAAAUAACCAUAAAAAAAUUAAAUAUACUUAGUAACAUGUCCAAACAGCAACAUUUCAGAACAAAUUUAAUAAUAAUAAUAAUAAUAAUAAUAAUAAUAAUAAUUUAAACAAUAUCACUAAAUCUAGUAAUAAAAAAUGUAACUAAUAAAAUUAAAUACAUGAUACUGAACACCUCAUAAUUAAGAUAAAAAGAAAUAUUUACUACUAAUAAUAAUAAGUACAACCAAUAAACUAAUAAAUACAACCAAUAAACAUAAUUACUCCUUUUGUCCUAUACAAAUAAAUUUUGCUUUUCUUUUUCAUCAAUUUUAAAAUAUAAUUCUAUUUCCUUUUUAAAACAUCAUUUAUUGUUUGAUUUCUUAAUAUAUUGUAUAUUGAUAAUCUCAAUCGUAUAUACUACUACAAGGGUCGGAAAGAGGAAAAUACAAAAACUGAAAAAACCGAUAAAAGUAUGCCCAAUAGGGAUUAGAAGGUACAACACGGUAGAAGCAUACGAGUAUGCUACGAACGAAAUGGUACAACGCGGAAGGCAGGUGGUAGUCAACGCCAAAAAAAUGAAAAGAUGGCUGCGAAAUUUGGGUAUAGCAAAGCGAUAUGACCUUCGGCCUGCGCGACUUUUUUUACCGCAACAGCAAGCGAACAAGGAGAAUCUGUUUAUCAUCAUCAUCUUCUUCUUCUUCUUCUUCUUCUUUUCUUUUUCGUCAUUGUUAUCGGUCCUUUCAUCCAUCUACUGUAUUUUCUCAUUUUAUUUUUAAAUUUGCAGUAGUUAUAUUUAAGCUUGUCUUCUUCCAUAUAAAUCGAUUAAUUGGUUAAUCUGAGAGAAAUUCGGUUGGGAUAAGAUUACUAUUUGCAGUAAUUUUCCCUUGUUAAUACUACUACAUAAGCACAUACCUCUUAUAAACACAAGAACAAGGAAAGUAGUGAUCGAUCCGACGGAAAAUGGUAAAGGAGACAGAGUACUACGACGUGCUUGGGGUCAGCCCCACCGCCACUGAGGCGGAGAUCAAGAAAGCUUAUUACAUCAAGGUAGAUUCUUCCCUUGCCAUUUCCAAUUUCAAUUUCUAGCUACCUUUGCGAUUGCAUAUCAUUCUAAUCUCUACUUUUGUGAAAAUACAUGCCAUGUAGAUCUCUAGAGUUGGACUGGAUCUGUUGCUUGUCUUAUUUUUAUAUCUGGAUUUUUUUUAAAAAUUCUAAAUUGAUAAUUCACUCCUAUGACUGUCUUUCUGCUCUUAUAUUUGGCUUCGCGUUCAAUAUUCAUCAGGUCCCAUUCCCCUUUUUUUUAUAUCUUCCACAUGUUGCGUCUAUUGUGAUUUCCUUGUUAAUUCUUUUUUUUUUUUUGCCUCCUUUUUUUUGGCUUGCAGGCACGACAGGUUCAUCCAGAUAAAAAUCCCAAUGAUCCUCUUGCUGCACAAAAUUUCCAGGCAAGUUGCAUUUUCCUUUACUUAUGAGAAACUUUUUUUAGUAUGAAGACAGUGUUCUAUUUCCUCCAUGAAUAUUUGAAUACUACUGGAUUAGCUUGGCUCCUUUUCCUUUGAACUAUAUUGCAGCUCAAACUUAUUUGCUUUCUUCUCCCUCUCCUUCAAUGACCCCAUUGCAAUUGACCUUUUGCUCGUGGUUUAAUUGUUAAAUCACCAUACCAAACAUGCUCAUACUUUCUCCUAUACCCUUGCUGCAAAAUCCAUCAUGGUUUUAUGUCCAUUCGCCACCAGUUUGCAAGUAAAACUUGUACUAACAAUCAUAGAAAUGAAAUAAAAUCUUACAAAAAGUACUCCAACUACCAUGGAGAUUCAGUUCAACAUUCAUAGCUAAUUGGUAUGAGAAACUGUUGUCAGUUUUUGGGCUUGUGGAACUUAGAAGUGCUUGUAUAAAAUAUGGAAGUGCAAACUCAUGUUUCUUUGUAUGUUAUUCUAAUCUCUUGUUUACUUCCUUUAACCAGACUAUUGGGGGAAUACACGUUUAAAAGAUCAGCAGGAAAAAUAACGUUGUUGGAUAUAUGUUUUUUAAUGCCUUAUUGAAGUCUUGUUCAUUUGAAUUCAGGUUUUGGGGGAGGCAUACCAAGUGUUGAGUGAUCCUGCUCAACGGCAAGCAUAUGAUGCUUAUGGGAAAUCUGGAAUUUCAACGUUAGUUUCUUCUUCUUAAUCUUUGAGUAGGUGAAGUCAAGGUCUAUAAGAUGUGAAUCAUGCAUUUCUUUGAGAUGGCAAUUUCACCCAUUCCAUUGGGUUUUAUCUACUUGCCCCCACCAAAGGUAGCAGAAGGAGGAUGAGUUUGGGCCACCCUAAAUCAUCAUCCUGUUUCUGUUUGAUUUUAACAAGUAUAAAUAUGUGAAUGAUAUGGCAUUUAUUACCCAACACAAUUCUUUAAAUAUUCACCAGUAAUAUUCAUAAUGUGAUAAAUAAUAACGCAUCCUUAAUUAUAUAUGAAACACAUUCUUUAAAUAAUUUUCAACAUUAUAAAAAUAAAAUGUACUUUCCUACUCAUGUAAAUCUUGACAAUUUUCUGGUUUGCUUUGACCUUCACUUAUGAUCAUUACUGUUUACUUGCAGUGAAGCAAUUAUUGAUCCUGCAGCAAUUUUUGCAAUGCUUUUUGGUAGUGAACUUUUUGAGGACUACAUAGGACAGCUUGCCAUGGCUUCGAUGGCUUCAUUAGACAUUUUCACAGAGGGAGAACAGUUUGAUACAAAAAAACUACAAGAAAAAAUGAGGGUACACUUUUUCUAGCAUUUCAUCGCUUAUCAUCAACCUGACCAUGCGAACUUGUAACAGCAGUGGGUUCCAUCAUCUGGUUGUUCUAUGAAAUUAUGAUACCAUUACAUUGUGAACAAACCAGUUUGUUUCUCUGUGCAAAACAAAAUCAGAUUUGUGUUUAGUUCUAGUGAUGAAGCAUUUUCACUGUACCCUAAGUCUUUCCUGAGCCUAUUGCAAAUUUGUUUUACCAUAGGUUGUUCAGAAGGAGAGAGAAGAAAAGCUUGCCCAGAUAUUGAAAGAUCGACUUAACCAAUAUGUGCAAGGGAACACAAAGGAGUUCAGUUGUCAUGCUGAAGCUGAAGUAACUAGGCUCUCAAAUGCAGGUAUUUUAUCAUUGUCUCUAAAUUACUGCAUAAGUGUGCGAGGAAAAGUGGGUGGAUUCAAAAUAAUAGGAUCAAGGAAGGAAGAGGUAGACUGAAAAUAUGUGAGAUGAAGUAGCAAAAGUUGAUUUAAUACUUCAAUAAGUAACAGAAAAACGAACAAAAUGGAGCAAAUGAUCAUAUAGGGGCAACUCCAACUAGUUUGAGGCAAUAGUUUAUUAUGCUUUUUUGGCUUGUUUUGGUUGGGCCAUAUGACAUGGAUGCAGAGACUUUGGUAGCAAAUUAGAGCUUGAUAUUCCUUUUGAUGCUCAUGAUUCUUCUGCUUAGAAAAGAUGGAAUUGCAAGGCAUGCGUCUAAAAUGAAUAGGACAUGGUGACUGGAGAGGAAGGGAUCGUGGAAGAUGCUAUUGGUCCUACAGCAUAUCUAUGCUUUAAUACACAAGCAGGAUGGGGAACUAAGUCUUAUCUUGUAUAUACUAUUAUGUAAUAGGUAUAUAUUAAUAUAUAAAUUAAUUUAUAUAAUAUUUAUAUAUUAGUAUAUAAUUUAAUGUAUAUAUAACUAAUUACUUGUGCCAAUCCAUGUACUCCUUGACUUGAAAUCCACAUCCAAAAGAAGUUCAACCACCUGUUCCAUAUCUUCAGGAUGGAAGAAGCACUCGGAAAGCCAAAGGAAUACGAAGACAACUUCCAAAUCAGUGGUUCUAGUAGCUUUUUAUUCUGAACUUAUUCAGAAGUAGACACUUGAAAUACCAUUAAUUUAGUUUCACUACAGUACCGUUGUAGUUGCAGUAAAACUUUCUUUUAUACUAUUUGGAUUCUUUUACUUUUCUAAUUGUCUUAGGAUCAAUGUAUUAUGAAUUACUAGUGGCUUCUAGAUCCACAUAGAACAAGAGCCAGAGUUUAUGAAAAUAUUUGCUUAAUGGCGCAAGGGUUAAACUUUUAAUUAUAGAAUCUCUGGAACUUGUGUUUCAUAACGAUCUCUUUUUUGUUCUUAUUUUUGUUUGAACCUGUUUUAAAAUCAUUAUUGCAAACAGCUGACGGCUUUUUCAUUAACUUUGCAUCCUAUUUACUGCAGCAUAUGGUGUUGAUAUGUUGAAUACAAUUGGUUAUAUUUAUGCAAGACAAGCGGCCAAGGAGCUUGGAAAGAAAGCCUUAUAUUUGGGUGUGCCAUUCAUUGCGGAAUGGUUUAGAAACAAAGGCCACUUCAUCAAAUCCCAAGUAACUGCAGCAACAGGUUAGUAGACACUACUGGCUUUGGUGGUCAAUGACUGUGUCUAAGUCAUUAAUCUUUUGGCCUUGGUCAAAGCUCUGUUGGCUAUUGGACCACUGGCCAGGAUUGACUAGUAGAACAAAAGUGAGAUUUAAUUGGAUGUGCUCUCAGCAAGCAAAAUGUACCUGAGCUCUCUGUUCCAUCAAUUUGCAUUUUUAUGUAGUGCACUAGCAUUUUUUUGUUCCUUUUCCCUUUGAUUGACCAACUGCUAGAAAGAGAGUGACAAACUUUUGUCACAAUUUGGACUUUGUUCCCAUUAAUUGGAAAUUGUAAAAUGUUAAUGAACCAUGCCCCUUCUACUUCAAUUAACUUUACACAAUGAAAUUAUAUAUUCAGUUAAACAUAAUGCUUCAUGUAUUUGCUUGUCAAGGUAAAUAUUCCGUACUGUCACACCUACUGUGCAUAUUUAAAAUUAAAUGGCCUGGUUUAAAAAUUCAUCCUAAAAUGGUGGUUCAAUCUUCUGCAAGGAACAUUCCAAAUUGUCUUGGAGUUUGAUGUUAAUAAAAAUCAGUUGAAGCAUUUGCUUCACUUAAGUUGCUUCGAAAAAUCUAUUUAGUUAUGUAUUCUCUUACCAUUUUUCCUGACUGGUGGUGCUAGGCGCCAUCGCCCUGAUCCAGCUUCAGGAAGACAUGAAGAAACAGCUCAGUGCAGAGGGGAACUAUACCGAGGAAGAGCUCGAGGAAUAUAUGCAAUCCCACAAGAAGUUAAUGAUUGAUUCCUUGUGGAAGCUUAACGUUGCUGAUAUUGAGGCCACUCUUUCCCGUGUUUGUCAGAUGGUUGUUUAGCUCGUCUUUGGAUAUUAAUGGUUGUUGGAUCACAUUGAUUUAGACACUAUGUUUGUUUGGCAGUAAUUCGUUGGUGAUUUGUUUUAGGUUCUUCAAGAUAACACUGUCAAGAAAGAAGAGCUCCGUGCACGAGCUAAGGGGUUGAAAACUCUUGGUAAAAUCUUCCAGGUAUUUUCCCUUAGUUCCUGCCCUUUAUCUUCUAAUAUAAAUGUCCAAUUCAUCAGGUACCUGAAACUUUUGAAAGUUCUUUGUAUGUAGAGGGUGAAGUCAUCCAACGGAAGUGAGAGUGACCCUGUGCUAGAUGGUACCCUGCACAAACUGAAUGGAAGUGAAGUGAGCCAUGACAUAUCUUGUCCUAGCACAUCACCAAAAUCUAGAAAUCUGGAAGAGCCAUCUUAUAGUACAUUGGCAUCGCAGGUAUGUUUCUCCUCCCUGAAAAAUGGUCCAGACUAGGAUACCAUUCAAGAAUUUCUAUUUUAUUUUAUUUUUUGUUGUUUCAUAUGUUUGAUGUCGAGAACAAUUCAUCUGUUUAUUUUUAUAUGGUGUUGACCUGUAUGACUAUGACCCAUAGUUAAAAAACAUUUCAGAAAAGUCAAAUACAAAACUUGGUGUAAUCUUAAUUUCUUGCCAGUCACCAUGAUUCUAGACCUUUUUUCUUAAGAAAAAAGCUGAAAGGAGUUAUGGUACACAUGCACCUGCUAACAUAUCAGACCUAUUCUAUUGACAAAAUACAAUAUCUUAUGUUGGGCUGUCUCAAGAUUGUGUAUAUCUUUGUACAUUCAGUCAAAUCGCUUCUUCUUACUGCCGUGUGUAUGUGUUUUUGUGUGCUCAAGAGUCAAACCCUUCAAAAACCUCUAUACCUAGAAAAUCCCUAUUUUUGUGUGUUGAAGACAACAUUAAAAAAGACUGAGCAUUGGAUUGAGCAAGGACAGUUAUGUUAUUUUCUUUGGAAGCAAAGACGACAGAUUUGGUGUUUUCUCAAUUUUGGUUUCAAGGAGCCAAUACUUUCUUCUGAUUGAUUGAGUUCACUUGGUUCAAGUGUGGAUUCUCAAGCAUAGUUCAGGUUGCUUACUAGCACAAAAGUUACCUGACUUGAGCUUAUUCAUUAAGAAGGUGUCCACCAUCAUUGACCAAAGAUGUAUUAGCCUAUUAGAAUGAAUUGAAGAUUACAGUUUUAUUUUUUGAGUGCUAGGGGCCCAAUUUCUCCCUAGUUUCUCUUGAAUUCUCUAUAUUUUGAAUCCUUACCAAUUCUUCUGAUAUAAUCUGUUGUCUAUCUGAUGCCCGACAGCUAGCUGCUUCCCUUGUCUUUCCUGUCCUAGUGCUUUUCGCAAGCUUAUUUUCUCCCUCCAACUUGCUGAAUUCUCAUCUUCUAACUCAAUUCCAAUUUGAUUCCUCAGAAACUGAGAAUCCUUUCUCGGCCCAUGGACAUCUCUUAAACACAUGUUUCCUUUUUUUUUUUUUUUUUUCGCAUGCUUGCUAUUCCCUAUCCUCCCAUCAAGAGAGCAUCAAUUUUUCUAUACAUGCUCCACAUAUACACGGCAUGCUCACUGCCGUAGAUGGAAAUGGAAUCACCUUUCUUUCUUCUUCUUCUUCUUCUUCUUCCUUUUUUUUUUUUUUGUUGUUGUCAUGAAUAUCUAUCUUUUUUGCUAACUUACCAAAAUAGAAGUAUUGUAUAGAAUCUUGACUCAAGUAGACAUGUUGAUGCUGCUAGCUGAGUCCUGAGCCUUGGCUCUGGUGGUUCCGGUUAAUCAGUUUUGGUCUAUCUAAGGUUUAAGCACUGCCUAACUAAAGUAAAUAAAUAAGUCAAUCAAUAAAACUGAUAUAAUGUUAAUUUGAUAACUAUGUUUGCUAUAUAGUGGAUUGGGUUUUUUAUAUUCCACACGGUUUUUACAUUUGAAAAAGAGGAGGAUGAUCAUGGGAAGUAAAUUCACUCUUAUUCAUCUUGCUUUCUGUCAUUUCUCAUUCACAAUAUUGAUUUAUUAUUUCUCUUACACUUACAAAAUUGUUGGACACCAUAGAGCCCCUAUGUGGAGGCUCCAAACUUUGCUGGCGCCCAGUUUGACAACUUCCCAAGGCCAACAGCACCACCAGGUGCAUCAAAACAUUCUUCAACAGGUGGUGACUGAGGAUGGAACAGUAUGAUCACAUUGCUUUUUCGCUUGUAUGCAUGUCUUGUAUGUUGUGCACCAUGGAAGGCUGUUGGAUUUUCAUUUCAUUGAUGUGUUUCAGUAGGUGAUCUGGAAAGCACAUCACACCUCCAUGUUAGCAGGCAUUAAAUGAUGUAUGUAUGAAACACAAUUAUUUAUACAGAGAGGAAAGUAUAGAUGAUUGUAAUUUUUUUCCCGUCUGUAGAUGGCUGCUAUUGGGUUCCUUGUAUUAUCCUGUAGUUUAUCUGUUUUGGUUUGACGUAACAUUCAGGUUCAGGGUUUUUGGUUAGUUUAUUUGUUUCUUGGUGAUUUAAUGUAUUAUUAUUUCUUUUUUAAGUAGGCAAAGUACUUUGGGCUAUGGAGAUAUUGUAAUUUUCCCCAAUCUGUAGCUGAAUGAUGCAAAGUAAGAUAUGUUUAGAUGAGGAAUACUCUGCUGUCUGCUGAACUUCAGUAGAUAGUAGGAUAUCUUUUUGGCAAAGCGGUAUAGAAUUUAUCAAGCAAUAUAUAUUAAUAAAAUGUCUUAGAAUAUUAGUGAUUUUGAGAAAAGAAAGAAGCCAAUUCCCUGCAGCUGAAAUUUUCCAGUUAUCACAAGUAAUACUGGUAGGCGCUGAUCCCAUUGAUUGAAAAGGAACAAAAUUCAUUUUGCACCACGAUUAAAGAAAUGGUUAAACUAAAUUUUUUUUCAUUUUGCACCUCGACGCAUGAAUCGAAUAUAAUAAAUGUAAUGAAAAUGCAAGGUAGAGAACGGGACGAGCAAUAUAAGGCAGAGAGUGAAGAGAAGAGUCUUAAGUUAAAAUUUGUUUAUCAAGGAGAGACUCGUACUUAAACCUCAUGAAUUUUAAAGUAACCAAUAUCACCUAAGUUGUUUUGGUUUUCAUUUUUAGAUAGAAGGAAAGAAAAUAAAAAUAAACGGGUAAGCAGGCACUAACUAAGUCUAAGAAGAAAAGAUUGGAAAAUAAUUUAAACGGUCAAAAGUAAGGUUGGUAACGGAAAGAUCCAAGAGUAAUGUAAUAACAGUUAAAAAUGACGGAAAAUUUAAUAAAAUAAAAUACUAUCAAAUAGGUUGUUAGGUAACAGGCAAGGAAAGGGAAAUUAGGAAUUUGACAACGGCAUCUAAGGGGUGAAAAAGAUUAGAUUAGACCUCAAAAACGAGAUAAAUCAAUAAACCUUAAAAAGAGAGAGUAAGAAAGGAGUUGGAGUUUGAGUUGAAGGAAGAUUGGGGAUAGAUAAAAGAUUUUGAGAGCGAGACUCCCCUUUCCGGACACCAUUUCUCCUCCUGCAUUCUGCUGAUACAGACUCCAUUACCUAUUUGCAUUUUCCUUUCCCAUUUCUAUCUAUUCUCUGUAAUAUAAUAGGAAACUCUUUCUUCUACCAUCCAUUACCUCAUAUCUCCACUUCCAAAUCUAUCAAUUUCAUCUAUUUGAUCUCGCCAGAGACAAUUGAUGCACGUUUUGUGACUUGGGAAAAUCAGCCGACCAGAAAAGCCCAAAGCGCGUUUCCUCGUCUCUUCCCUUCUUUUUCUCUCCCUAGAGAAUUGAAGGAAAGAGAUCCGUUUCUAUCUGCAUAAAUAAACAGAUCCUUCGCAAUUUUGAGAUUGAAGGAAAAAGAAGCAGCAUGGAGGGCGAGAACAAGAAGUCGGCUGUAUCGGAUGUUGGAGCUUGGGCCAUGAAUGUUAUCAGUUCCGUCGGAAUCAUCAUGGCCAAUAAGCAGCUUAUGUCUAGUAGUGGUUAUGCUUUCAGUUUUGGUACGAUGUUCUUUUCUUAUGUUCUCUCAAUUCUUAUCUUAGAUAAAUUUUAUUUACCUAACUGGAAAAUAGAAAAACGGAGAGAUCCCCCAGAUCUCAGAUCUCACGUUUAUCUUGAUUUGAACUUGUAAUGAACCGAUCGGAUAAUGUUAACUGAAUAGUUUAAUUUCUUCCAGCCACGACAUUAACGGGUUUCCACUUUGCGGUAACUGCGCUGGUUGGAUUGGUGUCCAAUGCGACUGGCUUAUCUGCAUCAAAGCAUGUCCCAAUGUGGGAGCUUCUCUGGUUCUCCAUUGUUGCCAAUAUGUCUAUCACUGGCAUGAACUUCAGCCUUAUGCUUAACUCUGUUGGAUUUUAUCAAGUGCGUUCUCUUCCCCUUUCCCUUUCUUUCUAUUAUACUUCUAGAAUCAACUAAACUAACUAACAAUUAACAAAUCAGAUCUAUUUUUCUUCCAUUCAUUAUUAAAUCAUCAGCUAAUAAUAUCUGAUCGAUUGUUCACUGCCCAGAUUUCUAAACUCAGCAUGAUCCCAGUGGUUUGUAUCAUGGAAUGGAUCCUUCAUAACAAACAAUACUCAAGGGAAGUUAAGUUAUCCGUUUUGGUCGUCGUUAUAGGUGUUGGUGUUUGCACUGUCACAGAUGUCAAAGUUAAUGCCAAAGGUUUUAUAUGUGCGUGUAUAGCUGUUUUGUCUACCUCUUUGCAGCAAAUUGUGAGUAUUUGCAUCUUUUAUCCAACCAUAUUAUACUUUGCUUUAUUUUCUGUUUUUCUUUUUACACUGGGUUUGCUUGGAAAAUCUUGGCGUCUUUGCUUGUCAGUACUGGGGCAGCUCCUAGCUAAUUGAUCAUGCAAAUGUUUAGAGUGAAAUUUGUGAAAUAUUAUUUUAAUAGUUGUUCUAAUAUGAGGUUUGUUGAUACUGCAUGCUGAGGUGUUUGAUGUCUGCAACACUGACAGUGAUGACUCGAAUCUGUGAGGGUAAAAAAUGAAAUUAAUAAAAGUUGUUGACUGGUAAUUUACAAACCUGAAUGAAUUUGGAAGUGCAUGAUAUUAACCAGCUGAGUGACCAAUAGGCUUAAGUCUAAUUGGACAUUACUUGGGGAAGUAGCAAAUAGCCCCACACUAGUUAUAGAAGCACCUAACUUUUAGGGUUCAAAUAUAAUAAUGCCAAACUUUUGUGAUUAACUUGUGAAGUUGGUGAGCAUGAGUCAUGUUGAAGUCUAUUGAUUGUUUUCCUUAAUGUACUCAUUUACAUUAUAACCACCAACUAAAGGUGCAGAAUAUAGCUCGAAGUAUAUUCAGCCUGUGCUUGCAAAAUAAAUGCUUGUUUGUUACUUGAUUAGUUAUGGUGGUGCUUGUGGAGCCAAAUAUUGAUUCAUAUUAUUUUCUUCUGUUGGAUAGACUAUAGGUUCCUUGCAGAAGAAAUAUUCAGUUGGAUCAUUUGAAUUGUUGAGUAAAACAGCUCCCAUUCAAGCCGUUUCUCUUCUUGUUCUUGGUCCAUUUGUUGAUUACUUCCUCAAUGGAAAAUUUAUAACAACUUAUAAGAUGUCUACCGGCGCCAUUGUAAGCACCCAUCCCUUUUCUACUCAUCCUAACUCGUGGAUUUCUUUGUGCUUUUCAUCUGUUAUGUAAUGAUCUUGUUAACCUUUCUUUGCAGUUAUUCAUAAUACUUUCAUGUUCCCUAGCUGUAUUCUGCAAUGUGAGCCAGUACCUAUGUAUUGGAAGAUUCUCAGCAGUUUCCUUCCAGGUUUUAGGUCAUAUGAAAACAGUUUGUGUUCUCACACUGGGAUGGCUGCUCUUUGAUUCGGAGUUGACUUUCAAAAACAUAAUGGGAAUGGUUAUUGCAAUAGCCGGCAUGGUUGUUUAUAGUUGGGCUAUGGAGGCUGAAAAGAGUGCAAAUGCCAAGGCCACACCCCAUAUGAAGAACAGCCUGACAGAAGAGGAAAUCAGACUUCUGAAGGAGGGAGUGGAAAGCACUCCCGUGAAGGACAUUGAAUUGGGUGAGACUAAAGGGUAGGUAUUGGUGUUCUUUGUUUUGGCUAACACAUUCUCGGUUAGUCAUUAUCUUGCUUUCUUCAUGAGGCUGCAAGACGGUGUCCAUGGGCUGACCCCUCGCAAAUUCUUAGAUAUGUGUUUUAAUUUAUUUAAGCGAUUUGUUCUUCUAUUUAAUUCUUGGUUGUUUCUCUAAAUUAUUUUUUUGUAUGUGCAAAAAAGAUUAGAAUCAUGAUGUGAUAAGGAAACGUAAACUCCAUAUGUUAGCAGAAAGUUCUUAGUAAGCAAUAGAAUUUUGUUCUUUGUUUUUUUAAAGUUGAAUUGUUCCUUUAUUUCGUAUGGUUUGCCAUGUGGCGUGGAUUGUGCAUACGGCAUCCCAACCAACUGUGCCUAAAAUGCUCAUAUCAAAUAUUUUUGGAGUUCUUUUUUCUUUUUUUGUUAAAAAAUGUUCUGACAUUAACCUUUGUGGGAAGUACAGUACACAAGGCUCAUCCAUAUACGUGGAAAUACUAUUCGCAGGAUGUGUAGUGUGGAUCGAUGACCUCUCCGCUAAUCACCAACCCUCAAUCGUUUGCUGACACAUUAUCCAAAACCUCUAACACAGCUUAUCAUUUUUAUAGAUUUUUUUUCUCAUAUUUAAAAAUAAAGUUUUAAAAUAUGAAAUUUUUAUAAUUUUUCAAAUUUGUUUAUAGUCAAUCGAAACUUUUAAUAUUUUUUUAACUAAAUCUUUAAUACUACAACGAAAAGGAAUUGUUUGAAAAAUAUUUGGCUUUAAUUUAAUUUGAAUCAUUAAUUCAAAAUAAAACUCGUCCAAUUAAUGAGUUAAGAUGAAUUUUUAAAAAUUUAAUGAGAAAUUAAAGUAGGUCCGGCUCAAACCUAGGCCUAAGACAUUUGAUAUAUUACAAAGGAGGAGGGCCUUCUGAAAUGUCGGUGGUUUCUUUUGGAUGGGGUAGGCUUUGAAGAGCAUUAUUUUAUUUUAUCUUUAUUACCCGAACCGUUUAAAACGGAACAAGAGAAGACAAAGGACGUGGCUUUUGUUAAUCACUUGGAGCACAUAAUAAAUGCCUGAAUCGAGUAACAGUGGGCAUUAUUAUCUAUCAGAAAAUGUAAAUAAUAAUAUUAAUAAAGAAUAGUAAUAAUGAUAUCAUGUGGAGGAGGAUGCCAUAUUGCCAUGUUUGCCUGUUUUGAGCUGUAAAGAAUGAAAUGCUACAUUAUUAUUAGUUUUUCUCAACUGGCAGGCUCAGGCUAUAGAAGUCAGUUUGCUUCCUAUUUCUUUUACAUCUAUCUCUAUCAUCAAAGCCAAAAUGGAACUCAACUUAUAUAAUAAUGCAGAGAAAUUUCUGGUGCAUUAAAAGCCUCAGUCAGAAAUUUUAUGAAUUUGCUAACAUUUGUAGUUUAGUACUAUUUAACUAUUUAACUGAAACAUAUAAGUGUUCAUUUCUGUUGCUUGAUCUUUGAAAAGAUACAUCUUUCUGGAUCAUAUGUCACGUUCUUCAACAGAUGUGCGUAAGAUCCAGAAUAAAAACGGAAAAACAAAAGGAGCAGAAGAAGGCCAUUUAAAACCCAUGGGCUUCAUCCAAAUUACAUGUAUGUGUGUAUAUCAAAAAAAACAAAAAAGUAUGAUUAAAUGUGUAUCAGAGAAACAAGAAUGAUAUAUGCAAUAAUGCAGGCGUCAAGGAAGCAGAGGAUGUUUUGUAGAAGUAAAGAUAGCAUCAGAAUGGAAAUUGGAAAUGAGAUCAGAAAGUUGCAUGUAAUGAACAGAGGGAUUGCCGGUCUUGAGAAGGUGAAUAAGGUACUGGAAGAGAUGGAUGUCACAGGCAAUCCUGAGUGCACCAUCGUAGGAAUAACCAAACUCUUCAUGGGAGAUGCGAAGCAGGUCUUCGAACAAUGGAUGGUUUAGAUAAUUAGCUUCCAUCUCCAACUUGCAUUGGAAUUCGACGUCUUUCCCGACGUACACUCGAAUGUGCCCUUCUGGGACAUCUAUUGGCGAUGAAGAUGAGGAUGAUCUCUCUGACUCUGAGAUACUGAAACCCUUUGCCCCACAGCACCAUAGUUUUCUCACGAUCCCACUCCUCAUUUUGUGUUAUCUUUGAUCGAUACAACGAUAGAUUGAUUGAAUGGAUGCGUUAGCUUUUCUUGUCGUCCUUGUAUGAGUGUAAUUGUUUGCUUAUGAUUAUGUUUACGUGUGUAUAUAUACAGAGAUACAAUUGGCAAAUUAAAAUAAAAAAAAUAAAAAUUUGCAUGGUCCACCAUCCGUAUUCUACAAUUAAGAUAAUAAGAAAAUAAAAGAGGUGAAGGUGAAGCCGCGGAUAAUUGGUUGGUCCGGGGGCGGGGGUCGGGCUCCUUAAUCAGUCAAUCUGUAUAAUUAAGCUACUUAAUUAUCGAAAUUUUCAUUUAAUUAUUAUAAGAAUUAGUAUUAUUAGCAGUAGAUAAAUAAAGUAAUCAGAUCAGAUGUGCCAACUGAUAUAAUAUGAGUAUUGAUGGGUAUAGGAAAUUGCACCCUCAGCUCAAAUCAUUGGCCGUGGCAUAAAUAAAUUAUAAAGAAAUUAUAUUAAGUGGAACAAAAUGUUACUUAAUCUAAGAAUCAGAAGAAAAGAAAGAAAGCUAAGUGUGAAACAGAAACAGAAACCUCUGAACUCUCAACAGUACGCAAGUCAAGGACAGCUAAGAACCGCGUGUUGAGCGGAAGAAGCAUUUGAAACGCUAACUAACUAACGAAGAAAGUUCCGUCUUAGAAGGCGGUGAGAGACAGAGCGCAUUACUAAUUUCCGCAAGGAAGGCGGAAGGCCCCAUCAGUGGAGCAUCCAACACCUUGGAAAGUCAAUCUCCACUUUCUUACAAGUCAAUGGAUCCAAAAAAAACCAAGAACAAGUACAAUAAUGAUUUGUCUGCUGAAAAUGAGAAUGAAAAACGUGCUUCUAAAGAAAUUAAACCCAACUUCUCUUCACUUAGCUCAACAUCCAGAUUCUAACGGUGCAGUGAGUGAAUAUGAACCACUGAGGUCAUCCAUUUUAAUUCUGAGCUCUUUAAUUUGUGAUCAUCUUGCACAACGUAACAUAUCAUAAUAAGAUUAAUUAUUUAGUUUUACUACUUGUCUACUCACUCUCGAUCCGAGGGAAAUUAGGUUCCUUUGAUUUCCCACUUUUUCAAACCAAAACUUUCCUUCUAACAAAAACCAACAUUUAAAUUCCACUGUUUCUGAAAAAAAAAAAAAAAAGAAGUACAACACAAGACAAAAGAAAAUUAAAAGACGAGAAGAAUAAUGAUCUAUAAGAAGAAGAAGGCAUUGCGUUGCGAUGCGACGGUGGAUCCCAGUCUCACUGUUGUGCUUUGUCUUUUAUACGAUACAAAGCGAUACUUGCCAAUUCUGAGAGCCCAAAAGUCCAAGCCAACUUACGACAUGAAUUGCCAAUUCUGAAGGCCCAAAAUACCGGGCCGACUUAUGAAGGUAGGCCCAAAGAGACGAUGGAAAUCCAACAGGGAAGAAAUUAGUAAACGAUUGAAAGAAAAAUGCUCGAGUCUAGACAGACAGGAGACAGUGGAGGAGGAAGAAACCGGAGUAGAGGGAGUUUGUCUGAUUCAGCUAUUGAUACUAAUUUUGAAAUACAUAAUUAUUCAAAUAAUUGAUAAAAUGGAGGAGGAUGAUAUGGAUUCGCUCUUUGAGGGGAUGGUGUUGUUUACGCCUUCCCAAUUGGUUGAUGAUCAAAAGAAGCAGCAGCAGCAAGAAAAGGAUGAUGAUCAUCAUCAUAAUAACGAUUCAGCAGAAAUCUCGCUCCCUCCUCGUGAAUCUGAAUCUCGACUUGAUGCUGCUACUGCCACCAUUAAAACUGACCCGCCAUCUCAACAUAAGGUCCAGGAGCCUCUCGACGAGAACCUAUUCUCUGACCUCACCCUCCAAACCCUAACUACAGAAUCAGAUUCCCUUCCUACUGCUGCUACUCUUCAAACAGCAACCAACUCUCGUCAGAUAUCCAGAAAGAAGAAGAAAGCUGCAAGCCUUAGAAUCGGCUAUGGUAGAGGAGGAUCCUCUAUCGAUGAUCUGCCUGCUAGUCCCUCUGAAGAUCAAAAUCUAAGUCUUAAAGAUGAUGACUCUACUGCAUCCAAUGAUAUUAUUCAUGAUGAUGAUAAAUCCGAUCUCGAUGCUUCCCAAUCCCAAUCCCCCACUUCUACGUCUUUAGUCGCAGAAUUGGAUGUCAGUGCGUGUUCGAUCCCAGAUUCACAAUCACUAUCAAAAGAUGAUGAAUAUGAGCUCAUCAAGGCCCAAAUUUCUGAGAAGCUCCACCGCUCUCGUCAGUUAGCUGCCUCUGUUUCUUCAGCUCGCAAGGAUGCCAUCAGGAGGAGAAGAGCAGCUACUGAGGAUCUCAAUUCAGCCUCUGCCAAGCACAGGGACCUCGAAUUACAGUUGGAGGCUGCCUGUGAAGCCGAAGAUUUCGAGGCCGCCGAAAGGAUUAGCGACAGGCUUGCCACCACUGACAAGGAGAGGCAAGCUCUUCUCUCUGCUCUUAGAGACGCUGAAGCCCAUUGUGAUGCCAUCGAUUCUAAGAUGCACGAUGUUCUGAACUCUCAGAUUCUUGCUGAGCAAGAAUGCGCAACUGUUCUCUCUAAUUUUGCCAAGGUUAGCAUACCAGCUACAUAUCACAAUUUGCAUUUUCAAUGCCUUUAACCUAUUAGCCUAAUUAAUUUCUCUCUAAUCUUAAUCUAAUCUCUGUAGAAUUAGGAUAGAACUCAAAAAUUCUUUUCUUUUUUUUUUUCUAUUGAACAAAAAAUAAAUAAAUGAUAGAUUAGCAAGAUGAUAUUUCAUGUUGCACGAAGUUCCUUUGAGGAAUCCCGCUUAUUUUAUUCUGCAAAUGUCUCUCCCAGGAUGCAGAAAAAAACGCAGAUUUAGUCUCGGAGAAAGCACAAGUACUCUCUUCAAAAGAAAUGGAUGAAUGGUUCUUGUCGAGUGAGGCCUUGGAGGCCAAGAAGAUGGAGUUGGAUGUCGAAUUACACUUCAUAAAUGAAGCACGUCUUGCUGUGAAUGAUUCCAUAGAGCAUUCAAUUGAGGACUAUAGGAAGGAGCAGGAACGUCUACAUGAGAAAAAAGAUGUUCUAACCGAUGAACUCCAGAAAUUACUCGCCUUGGUCAAAGACAAGGAAAAGGAGAUAGCAGAAAAUGAUUCUAAAAUCAAAACAAUUGAAGAAAGGAUUGCUGAUGUGGUCUCUGGUUUUCAGGACAGUCAAUCCAGCAUUGAGGCCAAAUAUGAUAACUUGCAAUUGGAACUUUCUCAGAUUCAUUUUCAUAGUGAAGCUUUAUCAAUAAAAAAGAAGGAAAUUGAUAAGUUACUUGCUGAAGGUGAAGACCUUGGAGCCAAUCUAAAGGAACUAGCCAGAGUCUCUGAAGAUGAAGCAAAGGCAUACCAGGAAGUUGUUGAGCUCAGGAAAAGGCUGAUGUUGUCCAUUUUGAAUUCCAGGGAAGACAAAGUAAGGCUUGCAAAGGCCGAAGAGAAACUUAUUGAGGAUGUCCGAAUGCUCCAACAGGAUGUUUCUUCUUUAAGAGCCUCCUUACAGGUUUGAUUUUGCUUCCAAGAUUUCAUUGUGGCUUUCACUUAUUUAUUUAUUUUAAGAAUAACCUGCAAAUUAAGGGUUUUUACCCUUAAGACUCUUCAAUUUUAAUUGUUAUAUUAUAUUUCUAAGUUUGGAAUGUGGCUAUCACUAAAACAUGAAUGUCAGAUUUGGCUUUUUGAAUAACCUCUAGCAACAUAAAGGAACCAUGCAUUAGGGAGUAGAUCAUGGCUAAACUAUAAUAGUAUUCCAGAAGGAUUGAAUAAUUCAUUAAAUGGGUUGGCAUGGUUGAUUGAGUGCAUAAUACUUCAAUUAAAUACCAAGUUUGAUUGCUUCUACAAUGGCCAGUUCUCCCUCUAGGAAAUUCAAAGACUUUUGUGUCAAAGCAAGUAGUGGAGAGGAUGAAUAGCGUCAGACUUCCCUUCUGCACCUGGCCUAGUUCAUAGGCCCUCGAUGGUUCAUUUCUUUCUUCAGUCACAAGGUGAAUGAAAGCCUUCUUUUCUUAGAGUAGCUUCAGAAGUAACGGCUUCAAGCAAGGAUUGACUUGACUUUUAGGCUGACUGGAGCAUUUCUUACAGCAGUGUUGAAGAUACUGGAACUAGACAAUAAAGGUGUACCCAAGGGGGUAGGGCAGUCUGUCAUAUGCACCUUUCUCUUGCUCUUUUGCAAGGAGGCUGUUUCCAUGACUUGAACUCUUGACCUUCUGGUUACAAACAGCAACAGCUUACCAUUGCACCAAGUUUUGGCAAACUGAAAAGUGUUUCGAUUCUUAAUUUAUGUUGUAACAUGUACACAAGCAAUAGAGAUUUCUGCCUACUAAUUAUUAUAUUUUCACCAUGUAGUUUGUUAUUCAUAUGUGUUUGCAUUCUCUUGGUCUUUGAAUUAAAUUUUUACUGCUGAAAAAUUAAAUCAAGUAACUUCCAUCUUUGCUAUUAAUGCCAUUCAAUUGCUAAAAUAAUAUCACAUGAUUUUUUCUAGGAACUGUCUUCAACAAAAUCAAACAUCCAACAAUCUAUAGCAUCCUUCAAGCAGAGGAUCUUUUUCAUUGAUAAAAGAGUCCCAGAGCUGGAAUCUGAAAAGAAAGUUGCUGCUUCAACAAGAAAUUUCAAGGAAGCUGCACGAAUAGCUGCUGAGGCAAAGUCAUUGUAUGUUGAGAAGGAUGGUGUGCAGAUUGACUUGGAAAGAACUACAGCAGAGCUGGAGAAGUUAGAGGAAGAUAUGAAAAAUACUGUUAGUAGAUUGCUGGAUACUGAACACCUGAUUUCAUCCAAGGAAAAAGAGGUUGCAAUGGCUAGAUUUCAGAGGUUACUUUUAAUUGCUGGCGCUGCUACAGCAGAAAGGGUUUCGGCUUUAGAGCUCGGUGACUCUGAAGAAGCCAACCUCCUACUUGCAGAGGCAGAAGCAGCAAAUGCUGAAGCAAAAAAACUUCAACCUAUAUAUAAUUUCAACAAGGAACAGUUCCCAAAUUUACCAAAGCAUUUCAUCUCCAUGGAACUUGUAUUUAAUCUUGGCAGGAAGCAGUUAGCAGAUUUAGCGGCAUCUGUUGGUAUUUCUGCACCUCAAUGAUUACAAACUAGAGUGGAGUGGAUUUAGAGAGGAUCAGUGAAGAGAUAUUGGAGGUGCAACAUUAUUCCUAAUUUGUAGUGAGUAUCAGAAGCUAUGAAUGAUUUUGAAAUUGCUUUUGAUGGGACAGCUAGUUACGACCAUCAUCUCCAUGGCAUUGUAUGGUUCUUCAAAGGUGCAGAUGCCUUCAAAGAUGACAUUUGAUACAUCUUACAGUUUUGCUGAUCACAGGUUCGGCAACAAGACUUCCCUAUGCUUAUGUUCUUUUGUGCAAUAUUGAUUUACCAGGACAAAAUCCUGUCUAGGAGAGGGGGUGAAUAUGUUCUUGCUUUUUGCAAUUUUUUUCAGUUCUCUUCUUUGACAUGAUAUUUUUGCAUACCAUUUUUUUUCUUUCCAAAAUUUAAACCUGCUUGGUUAUGCAUGAGAAAAAUAAAAUGUGUCUUCUUCUUCAUUUCUAUUUUGCACAAUUGAAGCAGUGAUUCAUUUGUUUUUUAGGAUUUUGUAAUUAUAAUUUUAUUUUUUGUGGAUUACAUGGAGCCUCUUUGUCACCUGGAACAUGCAUAGAGUUUAGGAGAAGUGUACUUACGGGCUUGAAUGAUACGUGGUGCUGCUUUAUUAUGAAUUCUACCUUCCAGCCAAAAAUUGAUGUAAUUAGCUCCAAUAUGUUGAAUGAGUACAAAUAUGAUAAAGCUGAGCAUUUUUUUUUUUUUUAGGAAAAACAAAUUAUACUUUCAGGGUGUUAAAUGGUUCUUUCAUCCAUGUUUUUUAUCUUAUCAUUACCUUUUGGUAAAGAAUAAGAAUUCAGUUAUAUCAUUUAUUCUUACAUUAUUGUUUCUGAUUUAUAAUAGUUUUUGGUCCCUAUUGUUAAUCACAGGGGGAAGUUACAUUUUCGUCUGAUAAUAAAUGAUAAUGUCAGCCUAAACACUUGUACCUGUUUCAAAGGCAUACUCUCCACAUAACCCAUUCAUCAACGUGAAAGCAACACCAGAUCAGAACCUCAUGAGGCGAAAAUGCUUCUUCAGUUUAGAGCUGGUCAUGAACAGAAUUUUUGGGUGGUUGGUUAAGGUAUUGCCAAAACCAUUAGCUAGCCAUUGUCUUCUCAUCAUAUCCGACAAGAUAACUCGAAGCGAAAGUUUACCAAAUCCUGAGCAGACAAAAAUGACAAGGAAAAAAAAAAAUUCUCGUCACCAUUUCGCUUGAAACCAUAUUUUAUUUUUUUUGAACCAAAUGGAAUCAUUGAAUUCAAAGAAUUGAAUCGAAAUUGGUGAUUCAAGAACUGAUUCAGGUUUGAGAGAAGGAGAAAAAUGCACUAGAAUCGGCCUAGACUCAGCAGUUCAAACUGGUCUUCCGACUGGCCUAAAAAUUUUUUAAAAAUAAUUUAACUUGAUUUUCUGUUAAUUAUUAUUUAUCUGAUUUCUAAUUUUUAUCAAAUACGGAAAGUCACUUUUGUAAUUACUCAAAAAAAAUGAAAAAAAAAAUAAUUAGUUAUUCAACUUCUAAUUCUUAAUUAAAUAUGAAAAGGAGAGUUAAAUUGAAUAAAUAAUUAAAUACGAAAAAGUUAAUUAUGAUCAAUUAUUCGGGCAAUUGGGAUUUUUUUUUUUAUAUAUUUGAAAAAGAGAGGCACUUGGGAUGCUUAUUGCUUAUUGACGGUAGGCCAGUUCGCAUAUUCUCCUUUCGGUAGCAAUUUUUUUUCUUUAAUGUUUUUUUGAAGUUUGAAUUUGUUAGUUUUACAAUCCAUAUCGCUCACAAGUAAUGUAAACAGUACAUAUAAUAUUCAGUAUCAUUACAUAUCAGAAUCCAGUAUUGAGUUACUCUUCUUUUUCACUUGUACCCAGGUGUUUAAAAAAAUCGUUGCAACAGAUACACAGAGCCAUGUGAUUUUGCCUUCGGAGCUUACAGGUGGCGGGAUAAGGCCGCUUUUAUUAUGAAUCAAAUGGAGAGAGAGAGACAGAGAGAGAGAGAGAGAGAAGAACAUUUUACGGUAUAUAAGCAGUUCACCCUACCUCCCUCUUCCCUGUAUAAAUUAAACUAAUAAAGAAUCUUGGGAGCUUCUUUCGUAGCUUGUACCCCAAUUCUAUCAACAUAAUGAAAACAGUUCCAUGCAGCCAGCUGAGGGAGGAGUUUGGGAAAAGAUAUCGGCGGCACGCUUAAACACACAAUUCACAAUUCAAUCUACAGUUGCAAACUCACCACACCAGACAUCUGUCUUUUUAUCCUUUUUUGCAUCAUCAAAACAACAGAUAUUUUGAUCAAACUCACCGGCGAGCAGCAAAUACCGAUGUUAAGUGCAGUCCAAACCACACUCCUCUAAAAGUGGGCCAUCCGACUUGGCUAGGAAUGGAUCUAUGCGAACCCACAAAAGGGAGAAGAUGGAAGCAAGCAAAAUAGACCAGACGAUUAUGAUUGUGGGAGUUCUGUUCUGUCGACCCAGCAGACCCUUUAGGAAAGGAUAGAGGUGAACUAUCACCCAGAAUGCAAAGAAAAGCUUACCAAACAGAGGCCCCCACGACUCGUACCCAUUAUUUAUUGCAUUUGAGACGCCAGCAACUACUCCUAUCAGAUUUAUUAUCAGCAACGUUGUUGGUGGAAUGAGUAAGGUUGUCCAUUUAAAUGCAUAUAGCUCCGAAAACUCUUCAUCGUCUCCUGCUUUUGAUGUCACAGUGAAGUUUGUAUCAACACCAGCCAGAACCUUUAACAGACCCUGGAAAACAGCAAAUAGAUGUGCUGACACUCCUCCAAUCACCCAAAAUUGCUCGUUUCUCCACCAAUCAUCAAGCCCAACUCCACUCCAUCUCAUUUCCAGUAUACUUGUUGCAAAAAUACAAAUGAAAAGUGACAAAAACCACAAGCUUGCGGCGUUGCUUAGCUGCAAUGUGGGAACCAAAUAAAUUUAAAUUCGCAUAUACUAUUCACAUUUUUAAGCGGCAUUUAAAAUAAAAUCAGGGCAUGCUCUCAAUGAUCAAUCAUAUAUAUUAUUACAAACAGCAUACCUCUGGAGUGAUAAAUUUCCCGGUUAGCAAACACACGGCAGGAAGAGUACAAUAUGCCAGCAGGGGAAGAGAUGUCAGUGGAUACACUGUAGCAUUUAUGUAAGACAAACGCUCUAGCCACUUCAAACCUCCUCCAUAACCAUACCACAGAGGACAGUGCCUGCUUAAAAAUAUUUCAACAGAUCCAAGAGCCCACCGAAGGACCUGAUGUAGACGAUCGGAAAGAUUGAUGGGCGCAGAACCUUUAAAUGCAGGCCUGUCAGGAAUGCAGUAUAUUGAUCGCCAUCCAUGGCAGUGCAUUUUAAAACCUGUCAAUAUAUCCUCGGUAACCGAACCAUAAAUCCAUCCAACCUGGAGAAUUGAAAGAAAUUUUAUGUUGGACCAAAUCCAAUAGUCGUACUUAUUAUACAAAUUAAAAUAUCCAAUAAAAAUUUUAAACAUUCCUUUUACCUCUUUACCCCAUUCUGUUUUAUCUUCAUAGCCACAGCUAAUAACAUGGAUGGCUUCUUUAAGCAAAGAUGCAGGGCUCGCACCUUUCAGUGAACCACCAUCCUCUAGAAGAGUUGAUGCAACAAAGACCGGAGAUUGUCCGAACUUCUUUUCCAAUUUAUUUUCAGGCAUUACAGCAGCAUUUUCAUCUUCAAUUCCUGCAUCCAACUCAUUCAAGUUAGCAUUAAAAAAAGAAAAAAAAUCAAGCCAGUUGGACCUGUUGAAAGGAAAAGCUUCAUGUGAAAGAAGCAAUAUAAAACCACCUACAAAAUUAAGGAAGCACCUAGACAAUUUGGCAUGAAUAUCAAUCAAAUCUGGAGUCAUAGAGAAGUGGUUCCCAUAUGCAUAAUUAUUCUAAAGUAUCCCACCAAAUAAAUGAUUAACUGUUUCCACGAGCACACAUCUGAAUUUAGCAUUAUUUUACACUCUGGAAUCUACCUUGCAAUUAAAUAUCAGGCAACCUUAAUGAGAUCAGCAAAGAAAAUAGUUCCAUCUAACAGUCAAGCUUCGGUUGCACAAGAUAUCCAUGCAAGUAUUUUCAUUAAUUACUGCCAAGUAUGAGCCUGUCUGGAAUUGCCAUUAAUUUUUUUCUUUUUUCUUUUUCUUUUCUUUUUUCUUUUCGUGAAUAAGCAUUCCAUUAAAGUAGUUGCUGAGAAAAGCAUCCUCUAAAAUGUUGUAAUUAAAAGCAACUAGAAAUUGCUUUUAAGGUGUAUUGCUAAUGUCUUAUCAAAACAUCUCAAGUUUUAAUUGCAUUUUGUAAAAAGUAACUUUUCAAAACGUAGUUUGAAAUGCAAUGCCAAAUUGAAACUAACACUAAUGGUAAUUGUGGAUAACACAAGUGUGGACAGGAAAUUGGUGAGUAAAUGAUCAUUUGCAAUCAGUAGUGUUACCUUCAAUGCCCUCUUCAGUACCCUUCAAAACACUCACAGGUUUAGAUGUCCUUGAAUUCUUCUUCUGCAUCUCAGAUUUAGGUUUGUCAGUCUUCUUCUUCUUUAUCCUUCCAGAACAACAACAUCCACAGCACCACUUAGGCAAGCAAUUGCACGUCCUACUCGGUAGUUUCUUUGCUUUUGGAGCAUCAUAUCCAUAGAACGCCUGCCUUCUGAACACACAACCAGUGCCAACAUAUAUAGGUCCUUGAAUGCCAUCCAAACCUUUCAUGUUUAUCUGUAUUCAAAUGAUGGAUUAAAUUGUGUACAGAAAAUGAACAACUUCGAGCAUAAAGGUCUAAUAAGCAAGUUUAGAUAAACUAAUGCUUACAUCAAAGAAUACAAUAUUCCGAUUGGCAUAUCGAUCAUGCCUGUCAAUGCCAUCAAACCUUUGUGGGAACUGGACAUAGCACACUCUCUUUCCAAGCAAAGGAUCCAUCAUGAAACACAUUGCUUCUCUAAUAGCCUUACUAUUAUUGAAGUAGUGAUCACAAUCCAAAUUCAACAGAUAAGGAGCAUUUGUGAGCACAGCAGAGACCCUGACCUGUUUGAUGGAUAGAUAAAGUUUAAAUAAAUAACAUCCAUGUCAACUAUAAUGGUGCAUAUAAUUUAGCAUCUUUUUACUUUCUUUAAUAACUCACCAAAGCAUUCAUUGCUCCAGCCUUUUUGUGGUGGUUAAAUCCAGGUCUCUUUUCUCUGGAAACGUACACCAUUCGUGGUAGUUCAUUUCCAUCUGUGUCAAGCCCUCCACUUUGGCCAAGGAAAACCUAUGAAGGAGAAGAGUUAUUAUUCCAGAACAAUAGUCAGCCAAAUUAAUGAAAUCUUGUUCACAUACUUGAAUCAUCCCUGGAUGAUCGCGAACAUUAUUCCCUGGCCAUGGAGUCCCAUCCUGCAUUGUCCACCCUUCUUCUGGGACCUUUUGUGCCUUGGCAACCAAUGCAUUAAUCCGAACUUUAAACUCUUCAUACUCUCUCUGCAAUCCAAUAAGAAAUGUGGUUACUAAUACUGGCCAACUGAUACAGACACAGAGAGGAAGAGAGGUAGGGGGAGUUUAAAUGUUGAUGAUGGAAGCUUUAGCACCUUCAUUGCUCUCCGUUCCUUCACAAAUGAAGCCUGCACCUUAUCUUUGAGAUAAUCUAUCUUUUGAGCAAAAUAGAACUCUGGUGCCCUUGGUUCAAUGUUAAACUUCUUACAGAAAGGGACCCACUUCUUUGCAAAUUCAGAUGUUUCUGAUAAAGCCUCAAAUGUCAGCAUAGCAGCACCAUCAUCAGAAACAUAACAUGAGACCUUGUCAACCGGGUAAUCCACUGAAAGAAUGGACAGAACUGUGUUUGCAGUCACCAGUGGUGGUUCUUUUAAUGGAUCAACUGUACUUACAAAUAUAUCAAUUGGAGAUAGUUGAGAAGGCUGGCCUUCCUUCUCAUAUCUAAUAACAAACAAGCCAAAAAAAAAAAAAAAAAAAGAGCCAUAAAUUCAUUGAACUACUUGAUCCAAAAUAGAACAGGAAUAACAGCAAAUGACAUUAUCAGUUACCUGAGAGAUAAUCGAUCCAGAUAAGUUUCCCUGUCAAUAGGAAGCCACUUUGGGAAUUGAUCAAGGAUCCAUGAAAGAGCAAACCAAAUCUCACAAAUAACAGAUAUGAGCCACAAUGGGUACGCAUCAUUCACAGGGUGUGUGACUCGAUAAUGGAAGAAGAAUCCAAGAAUUACAAGUCGAAUGAUGAUGAUCAUCCGGUAAGGAUUCAUUUGGCUGGAAGAAAUAGGUAAUUUUCGCGAUAAUGGUUGUCUAGCCUCAUCCAUUCUGAUCCAUGAGCAACAAAUUUCAAUUCCAAAAUCAGCAAUGUUAAGAUAUUUAAGUUUAACCAGCAGGAAUGGAACUUUGGAGGAGGGAACAAAGAAAAAAAAAAAAGAAUCAAAACUGUUGCCAUUCAUAGCAAUGUUGGCAACCAGGUUUAUGCUUAAAAACCACUGAUAUUGAUAGUGUAAAUUAAUACUGCACUAAACAUCAUUUUUGACAUGAAAAUUCACAUUAAAGACCAAGCAAUUAACAAAAGAUCAUUGCAAGCAUAUUUGGAACUCUGAAGGGUAAAUAAAACUGAAUGUACUUCAUAUUUUCUGUACUAGAAUUAUUGAAUCAUUAAAGAGGGAAAACGAAGAGCAACUAUGAUCAAUGAAGUAUCUCAAUUAGUUGGGACUCCACUUAAUUAUGGAAAAAAGAGGAACCCCUUUUUUUUUUUCUUUUUCUCAUUGGUUAAAUAGGAACUUCUAUACUCGUGCACGGAAAAUGAAGAUUCAGCAUUAUAAAUAAGCUAAGAUUUAGGGGAGCUUACAAUGGCAGAUCAGAUGCAUCACCAUCACAGUCCCAGUCUUUGCCGCCAUUUUCAUUCUUCAUCAUCUGCAGUUUUUCAUGCUUUUGCUUCCAACUCUCCAUCCUCUCCUUCCAAGCAAUACUUCCAUAGCCAUAAGCAGCCAAGUCCUUAGAAGGAUCCAUGGAUCUAGGUUGCACUGCAAAAUGGGGACAGAGACAAUAAAUAUUGGACUCUGUAGCAGAGAAGCAACAGGAAAAAAAAAAAGAAAGAAGAUCCAACUGAUUGAACGAUUGGUGAUAAAGUUGGAAAGUUCACAAACGAUUACCAGGGAAGGUAGGAUCUGAAAAAGGAAGAGGGUGGAUUCUUUUGCCGCCACCAGCGCCAUUAGACAUGUAGGAAGGGACCAAAGCAUGUUGUUCUGGAGGAAUGUCAUCCACCUGUAUCGACAUCCAGCAAUUAUGAUGCAGCAAACUUAAAACAAACGAUAAAAUAUGUAAUGCUUAAGGAUAGAUAGCUAGAGUAGAGAAAUUAGGUGAAGGGAGGUACCGUUUGACCGUCAGUAAGGAGAGGAACUUGGGUUAGAGGAUGCAGAGGUUGAUAGAGAUCAGAAAAGGCGAGGCCAUGGUGAAGCAUAGCCUCCGGUCCAAGAGGAUGCUGCAUAUCCUUUCUACCCCUUGUUGGAUCGAAAUUGAACUCAUUUUCCAAGUCAUCGAUGUCAUCUUCUUCUUCGUCUCCUUCAACUCUGGCACAGCCUGCUCAAAUAUGAUCAUACAAUUUUCAAUUCAUUUGGCGGUAGUGUUGAAAUUGAAACAUAUAGAAAUGAAAAGAGAGGAGAUGGUAAAUUAUUUGAGUACCCUUGAGACGCUUGAAUCUGGUCUUGCACUGAGGGCAGACUUGAGUUCCUUCCCUGCGCUCGUACUCAUAGCAAGUUCUGCAGAUUGGGAAGGCACACUCAUUGCAGGCAACAAACAGCUCUCCAUCCACGGUUAGCCCCACAUCGUCUCCACAUAUGUGGCAUAUUUGUCCGCUUAACUGCUGUAACGGUUUUGGCUGCCAAAUAAAAAAUAAAAAUAAAUGCAUUCUGAAUCCAGAAGAAGAAAAGAUAGUAGAAAAGGAAAAAAGUACAACAAGCUUACGGCAGAUUCACCAUCGCGACGGAUGACAACUAGCUCAUUCCUGUUAUGAGAGCCGGCCACCAAGCCUGCACUCGCUUCCAUUGGCCUCUCUAACAAUGCAGUAGAAAAGAAACUGCAAAUUUCAGUUUCAGAUCUACCAGAAGUAAGUCCAGCAGCGAUCAAUUGCUUUUUCUACCGGUAAAAGAGAAAAGCGACAGCGACAGAGGCAGAGGUCAACCUACUACUACUACUACUACUACUACUCAUCUGCUCAAUGACUCGCUACUGCCUCUGGUAACUGAGCAUCUUAGUAGAAGCUUUGCUUGCUUUCUUCUUUUGCUUUUUCCGUUUCCCUUUCCUUGUUAUCCUUCUCUCUCUUUUAUAAUUCGUUGCUUGGCUUCUCAAUCAACUAUCAAACAAUUAAAAGCCCACUUCUGAAUGGAAAUUAGCAUCUUCUUCGUCUUCAACUCCCCAGUUAUUUCUUCUUAUUUAUAUAAUAUUUCAAAAUUUAUUCAGUAAAUUCUCAAAUCAGCAGAAAUCAGUCAAGUAAAAAGAAGACAAGAAACGAGAAAAAGAAAAUCAAAAAGAGGUUCUACAAUACAGUCUCCUCUCUCUUUCUCUCUGUAAGUCGGUAGUUGCCGCUCAUUUUCUGUCUAGUAACAUUUUUUUCACCUUACUUUUUUCUUAUCGACAUCUCCGCCGACACUACUAAUCGCGUCAUUAGAUCAUAUGCUAAUUGCUACGAUAAAGGACGACUUUGAUAUUUCCGUGUUAUUAAUAAUUGGUUAUCGCAGCACUGCAGCAACUACAAUAAAAUAAUCAUCCAUCUUGGAGGAAUAUCUGCCAACCAUUUACAAGAAUAACAGUGGCCCCUCCCUAACGGGAUAUACUUAUUUCCUAAUUAUAAGCAUCAGAAAAACCAACCGCUGUCAUUUUUCUUUUUUAUAUUUUUACACAUGGUGAUUUCGGCCCAUCCAUUAAAAAUAAAACAAAAUAACGUUGAACCGUUGAUGGUCAUGUGGGAUUUUGAUUUUUCAACGGUGUGCUGGCUGGCUGGCUGGCUGGCUGUCUGUACCUCUCCGCCUCCUCUCAGUAUCUGACCCCACCCCAUCAUGUAGAUGGCCUAUUGCUUUUUUUCGGUGUCUCUUUUGUUUACAAAGUCAAACGAACCAGGUGUGUCAUUUUCUUUAUUUUAGUGGUUAAAUUUAAUUUCAUUAUUAUGAUAUUUAGUUAAUUUUUUAAAGAAUAACAAAAAUGUUUUUAAUUCGAUUUAAUUAUUUAAUCCCAUAUAUAAUAUGGCUUUUAUUAAUGAAUAUGAUUUUUAUUAGAUUCAGAGUGAUCAGAGUAUAGACAAGCUUUGCAAAUUGCGAUCGUUUCCAGCUAGCUAUGUUAUGCUGAAGUGUGUAAAUAUUCAGUAGAAAAACGACAAGCGGCCCGUUGGCACCAGGUCGCGUGUCUCGGCCUUUGCUCAACCGGGACCCUCUCAUAUCAAUUUUUUGGUGCCUCUAUUACCCAUUAAUUUAUGAUUGUCGAUUUGAUUGGCCUACUUCGUCCUAUCACUUUUAAUUUAUGAUUUGUAUUUUCGGAUGAAUAUUAUGCAUAUCAGUUUUCAGGAGUCGUUGGUGUUUCGAUCAUCUGGUUUGGUCGGCUCCAAUUCAAUUGGACUAGGACCGACAUGGUUUAUCUUUUCUAUUAAAUUGGACUAAAUGGCAAAACCCUUAAUAUCAAUAAAAUGUUGAUUGAAGUCGUUAAAGAUCUCAAUCUCCGCAGUGGUGCGAUUCGAGGCCAUUAAACCUUUUGAUCUAAAAAACAAAAAAAGGCAAAUGGUUUGAUUGCAUACCGAGCCAGACGUUGAUAUAGAUAGACUUAAGAUUAGUUUCAAACACUAAUGGUUUAGAUAUUAUAGUCUCAUCUCCACUUCAAUUCCUGAUAUAUAAAAGUGGAUUCUUAAUUUUCUCGUGGAUUCCUAUUUACCCGAGGUAUGAAUUUUAUAACUUGGUUGCUCACUUAUCUCAUGCGUACAACAUCUGUCGUGUACAAAUACUCAAUGAGCAUAAACAUAUAAACAGUAACAAAUCUCAAUCAUUUAUAUGUAGGAGACUAGUGUCACUUCAAGUUAAAUAGUUGACACAGUUAUAACCUAAAUGAUGAAUCAUUUACAAGUAGUAAGCUUCUAUUUUAUCAUCAUCAUGCAUCAUACAUUGGACCUAAUCAUGUCUAUAACGGUCGAUGGCAUAAUUAAGACUUAUAGUAUCUCGUGUUGAUCAUGGAAAUAAAUAGAGGUGAUGAUCAUAUAUAUAUAGUAAAGUGUAUCGUAACGCUAAAAGUUACUUAAAAAGUUACUGUCGAAAAUAAUUUUUAUGACCGGUCAAAACGCUAAAUACUAUUUUUUACGGUGUUCGGUAACAUGGCGUUUGAACUAAUUUUUAAAAUUUAUAUAUAUUACGUUUUAUGAAAAGGUAACUCAUGUAAUGUUUAGCUUUUGGGUCCGUUCGGCAAAAUUAACUGUUUUGGUAGCAUUUAGUUGUUAACUGUUUAAGUAAUUUUUCAUGAAACGCUAAAAACUAAACGUUACAAAAAUUAACUUUUCAUAAAAAUGCUACAUUAACCUCUAAAAGCUUAGUUCAAAUACUAUGUUAUUAAAUACUAUAAAAAAUAUCGUUUAGUCAAAACGUUAAAAAUUUCUUAAAAAGUUAUUGCUGAACACAACUUUUAGCGUUUUAUGAAAAGCUACUAAAACAGCUAACAGCUAAACGAUACUAAAACAACUAACAACUAUAAAAACAAUUAAUUUUACCGAACAAUAUCUCGUUUUUCUUUUAGUUUCUUUUUGUGUUUUUUCAAUAAUUCUUACAUAUUUGUCUGUUUAAAUUGCAUUAAAUGUACAAAUCUCUUAUAGGUUGGUAUAUGUUAAGCGUAUCUUUUCUAUUAUUAUCUAAAUGUACAAAUCUCUUAUAUGUUAUUAUAUGUUAAGUGUAUCUUUUAUAUUAUCAUCUAUCUUUGAUAUCUUGAUUUUUUUUUUUUUUAAUUUUGUUAUACUUUUUUUUUUCAUAGAGAAUUUCUAUCCAUAAUAGCUUAAUUACGGGUUGCCAGCAGUGUUCCUCCAUCCGCCAAAUUUUAGAUUUUUUAAAAAAUAUCUUAUAAAAUAAAAAAAUUUGACAUUUUAUUUAUAAAAUAGUAAAUUUUUUAAACUGACCCUCUUAAAUUUUAAAAAUUUUUUACCCUUGAAUAUCUUUUCCGGUUUCCGCCACUAUCGACCUUGUUGAGGAUUUUUUUUGUGCAUUUUUGGUCUGCAAGUAGCCUUUUUUGGCAAUUCAACAUACAAAAUAGAUUAUUAGUUUCUUUAACCGGAGAAAUUGGACCUUCAUACAGAAGAUAAAACCUCAUUUUCAAACUUAAUUCUAUUGUGAUUUUUUUAUAAAUUGCUCCUUAAUUAUAAAAAAAUAAUAGUGUAAUUUUAAUCAAAUGAGCUUUUAAAAAUGAAGGUAAAAUAAUCUACUUUUUAGAAAGUAGAAUUAUUUAUAUAAAUAAAAAAAAACUUGAAUUUUUUACUGAGGAAGAGAAGGAUUGUCCUCUAGUACAUAGCCUCAAUAUUAUUUUGAGCCAUUUGGAUGCAUUAAUUUUUUUAUUUUUUAGAAAAAAACCACACACCCAUGUAUUAUGUAUUUCUUAUUUCUCGUGUCUAAAAUUGGUGUGAGAUAUAAAAUAUUGAAGGGUGCUUGAUUGAAGCGAGGUCGUAAUAUCCGUGGUUACCUUUUGGGUGCGCGAGGAAGAGACGCCUCCUAUACUCCGCUUUCCUAACCGUGACCGCCGUCGCACGCACACAUCGGCGCCUGGUAAAUGGGAGCUAAUCAGUUUAAUUUCGUUGAUGUUCUAUCUUUAUUGUUUUCAUUCAAUUGAUUAUUGUAUCAGGAGAUCCCAUUCGUUGACAAUGAAAUAGAAAGUCUCCUUUUUAUUUUAUUUAGAUCCACAUAAUUGAGACGUUAGCUACCGGUUUUUAGAAUAUAAUAGCGAUAUAUUUUUAAUUUUGUAUUAUCGGCUUGCUGGCAAUCUAUCUGUUUCUAUUUCUAUCUGCGGCUCUCAUCUGUGCAUAAGUUUGUCUUUUGUCUUAAUAAACUGUCUGCAAUCGUCUCAAUUUCUGGUUAGUAAUUAGUUGUAAGCUCUAAGUGAGGUAGAUAAUGUCUUUCUAAUUCUAUUGCAGGGAGAUUCUCUGGGUUAUUUUGCUUUCCAGGGAGUGUUUAUCGUCUUACCAUGGUUUCUUCGUCAGCGCUUGGUCAAGAAUUUAACAACUCUUUCUCAUCUAGAAAAAGGUUGAAAGUUUCAGAUUUUGAGCAUCAGGAACUAGAUUUGCAUACCUGUAUUGGUGCCGCAUCACUUCAGUCGAACACAAGCGAAUGCUCAUCUCGUGGGUAAUGCACAAUUGCAUUAUUUACUCUCUUUUUUGUUAUUCCAAUGUCAAAUUUUAUGAAUUUUCAGUUUUUUGAUUGUUAUCAUGAUAUAAUUUUGCUCAUGCUAUGUCAGGUGUUUUAAUGCCAAUCAUGCUUCUUCAUCAUGCAGCAGUUUCGAUGAAAAGAUUUGUUCUAAUACUGUGUUGGAGACUAGUUGUCAAUUGAAUGGAAAUAGUGGUGACGUGCCGGAGUCUAGUAAUGCUGGGGGAUCAUGGACCUCUUUCCCGGACAAGAAUUACUCUGGUUAUGUGCCCCCUGCUUUUGUGAGUGGGUGGAUGUAUAUUAAUGAAAAUGGACAAAUGUGUGGUCCUUAUAUCCAGCAGCAGUUAUAUGAGGGUUUAUUGACAGGAUUCCUGCCUGAGGAUCUUCCCGUGUAUCCCAAUGUAAAUGGGGCGUUAAUCAAUCCUGUACCUUUGAAGUACUUCAAGCAGUUUCCCGACCAUGUUGCAACUGGUUUUGUAUAUCUUGGCAUGGGUAGUUCAGGAGCAUCCUCACCUACAAAUUGUUUUUCCUCUUUCAAUAUGGAUUUGACUGGACAUAGGCAGGAGGGCUUUUUUCCGCAUGGUGCUCAAGUUUCUCAGCUGACAUCCCAUUCAUAUUUGCAUAACCAUGCUUGUAGCUCCAAUCUGCCAAUCUCAAAUUCCAAGGCAGAUACCCAUAAUACACCAUUCCCACUACCGGUAUUAACACUUCCUUUUGCAUUACAUUACAUAUGGAUCCAUUCAGCCAGUCUUUCUAUCUCUCUCCUAUGCAUAGUUCUUCUAUAGAUUAUGCAGCACUUCAUGAUUUUCAUUUCUACUAUUUUGCUUUCAGUCAGGGGAAGAUACUUGUUGGAUAUUCGAGGAUGAUGAAGGGAGGAAACACGGGCCACAUUCUCUUCUGGAACUUUAUUCUUGGCAUCACUAUGGAUAUCUCCAGGAUUCAUUGAUGGUAAGCUAUGAAACCAUUACUAUUAUCCAAUCAGCCAUUUUCACUACUGUAUUUGAAUUGAAUUCAGUUAUUUAUUGGGAGUUGAUGAGUUAGGGGAACUAGUAAAGGUUGCUGUUUUUGAGGAUUUCUUUUGUUAAUGUGAAAAUGGAAAUACUUUUAACUUUUAAAUUUUUAUCACUUGGAGACAAGAAGCUGGAUUCAUGAGUUCUUAUCUGAUUAUCUAUAAAAGGCUGAUCAGCUUUCCGUUUGGAUACAGUUCCUUUCUGCUUGAAAUUCAUAUUUGAUAUGUUGCAUUGCUGCAUGUUGUACUUUGGAUGAUAGAUAAUCCAAGAUAUCUGUGGCCCAUUGUGUUUAAAAGAUCAAAUUAUCCUAGCGGUUAGUAUUUGGGGUAGACUAAAAUAUUUUAUUCCUCUCAACUGUUAGCCAUUUUGUUCAUAAUGUUGUUGUAGUUGGUUAGUGCGACUCAACUUGUUGAACUGCUUCUCUCACCUUUUAAUUUAUUUCGUAAAAGGUUACUUUCAUUUAUGAUUUCUUGUCCCUUGGAUUCUAAUCCUUGCCACUAAGUGCUUCUAACUAUUUUACCGUUCCUCACUCUGAUUUUGUUAUAUCCUGUUUGGCAGAUAUAUCAUACUGAAAAUAAGUUUAGACCACUUCAACUGUUAUCUGUUGUGAAUUCAUGGAGAAUGGAGAAGCCUGAAUCUGUCUUUGUAUCUGAUGCCAAAACUGAGACUAGCUCACUACAUAGCUUCAUAUCUGAAAUCUCUGAUGAAGUUUCUUGUCAACUGCACUCUGGAAUAAUAAAAGCAGCUCGUAGAGUCGCGUUAGAUGAGAUAAUCAGAAAUGUCAUAUCAGAGUUUGUUAACGCAAAAAAAGCACAUAAGAACCUUAAGCUCAAUAGUCAAGUUGCCAAAACAUGCUCUACAGAUGAAAGAAUGGUAAUAUCAUACAAUUGCAUGAAUAUUUGAAGCUGUAGUUUUUUAGACUUGAUGAAUACAUUAUAUAUUUUGUAACAGUCUGAAGUUCCUCCCGAGAGAUAUAAUCAUGCUCCUCCUGAGGCUGAAGCUGCAACCUGCAAUCAUAGCUCUGAUCAGGCUCAAGUUGAUCAGGUGUCUGUGCAGUUCCAUACAAGCACAAAAUCUGUUGGAAGCAUUGACAACUUCUGGAGGUCAUAUGCAGUUGUUUGUAGAAUUCUUUUCGAUUGUUGCAUGGAAGUCAUGUGGAAUGCUGUUGUUUAUGAUGCCAUAGCGGAGUAUUCUACUUCCUGGCGAAAGAGAAAACUUUGGUUUUCUCAUCGGAAGGUUAGAAUUCCUACUAGCAUCAGGGAUCGUGGCAAGGAGACUGAAAAAUCACCCCAUGAACUUGUAUGUACUGAACUUUUUUAGAGGUGUUUAACUUUUGUUAUUACUAUUGCAAUUACUAGUCCUCUUAUUAAUAUUUGUGCAAGUAUAAUAGCUGAGUGAUGUUUCACUGUUUUUACAGUUAUCCAGGCAAGAGUCUUCUGGUUGUGAUGUUGAUUGUUCUCCUGGUUCUGAAAUUGUGACGGUUGAAAAGGAUAUUCAUGCAGAAUCACCUAUAAUUGCUUCAUUUUUUACUAUGGGAGAGGAGUCAUCUAAACUGGAUGGCCUAUCAUGCAAGGGUUUUUUAUACAAUGGCAUAAAUUGCUGCUUAGAAUGCGUGGAAAAUGAGCUACAUUUGUCCACAAAGGUGUCUUUGGUUGAAUAUGUUAAAUUUCUUGUCAAAGAGGAAGCCAUGAAAAUAGUUAAAUACUCAGAGGAUGACAACUUGAAUGAGGUAACAGAAAGUAGUUUCUGCUGUCUAUCUCUAUGUGUCUGUCAUACCUCUUUUUUUUAUGUGAAGAAAAUUGCUGGGGAUGAUCAUUGAAUGAAAACUUUAUCUACAGCUAUAUUUAAUACUUAUAUAUUCUUGUUGUUGCAGGAGACUGUUGAAUCUUCAGGUCAGUGUCGCCAGACAACUGAAUUUAGUUCUCCAGAGUUGGAUGGGGAACUGAGGAUUGACUCCAAGAUUGAGACAUCCAAUGAUUCUCAAAGUUCAUUGAUAGCUGGAAUGCCCUCUGGCUCCUUUGUAUCUGAAAAUCGUUUUUCAAAUUUUUUGGCAAGUAUUUUUGAAAAAUCAUUGGCAUGUGUCGAAGAUAUUAUGGAUGACCAAAAUAUUGAUGAGUCACCACUACCUGGACUUGAAGAUAAUGCUGGAAUUCUUGUCCCUUCACCUAUAUGUAAAUUCCAACCUUCAAGAUCAGAUGAGUCUACUCCUAGAAUCAGAGAAUAUGUUGCCAUGGCAAUAGUCAGGCAGAGAUUGCAUGAUGAUGCACUAAGAGAGUGGAAAUCAUCGUUUAUUGACGGUAUCCUUAAUCAGUUUAUUGGAUUCCAGCUUAAUUCAGAAAGGCACUUUGAACUUUCCAAUGUGGUAUGUGUUUAAACUUUUGUGUUCCCCUUUGAAUUUCUAAAACUUGAUCUCCUCUGAUCAAAUUUACUUGUGUUUGUUCAUAAAUUUUUUCAUGUUGUGUUAGGGUUUUGAAGCAUCCGAAUCCUUUCAGCUAAUAUUUCUUCUGAAUGUUAUAGGAAGGUACAUUUAAUGCAAAAAAAGCACAUGAUGGCAAUACUUCACUGGACAAAGUUAAGGAUCGUUUAAGGAGGUCUGAUAGUUCAGAUGCUACAGUGAUGUCUUUGGUCACUGGUAAAUACACAUAUUACCGCAAGAAAAAGUUGGUGCGGAAGAAGUUGGGGUCAUCUUCUCAGUCUAUGACUCCAGUUGAUGCAGGGUUACAGCAACAGCCUGUCGAGAAGUCUCAAAAGCAUCACAUUAUCAGAGAUUUUGCUGAGAACAUAGAAGUCAAACCUGUUGUUGCAACUCCCAAGAAGAAGCAACUAACCAAGGUCCAGGCUGUAUUAUCUUCCCAGUCUAGGUCUUCAAAAGCCAUUGUUAAAAGCAAUUCAUCAAAUGAUCAAUCAUUGUCCAAAAAUGGUACUCAUCAAAAAGUAAUGAAGAUUAAGCAUGCAGUUGCAAGACCUAGUACGUCAUUUUGCCAGAAGUUUUUUUUCUGAUGAAAAAUAUUUUACAUAUUGUAACUGUUAUUGACUCUAUUAUGUAGAUAAUAAGGUCAUAGAGCACUCUGUAAAACCUGCUCGGAAGAGUGUUUCAGACUUCGGUAAGGAUCGUGCUAAUGUUAAGAAGGUUAUUGAUAGCAAAAUCCAUAAUGCUGGAAGUGACAAAUCACUGACUCAAGAUUGUUCCAAAAAUAACCUAAUUGGUGAGCAACUUCAUGAUGUUGUAAUCAUUAUGCUCUCAUAAAUUUUCUAAUGAAUCAAUUCAGGACUUUGUGCUUAAUGCUAUGGUUUUAUUUGUCUAUUUUGUAAGUAGCCAUUAAGACGUCAAAGUUGAAAAGGAAGCAUUCAGAGGGUGUUGAGUCAACAAUGCAUCCUACAAAGAUUCUGAAAGUGGCCAAUUGUGCUUCCAAGCAAGCUGCAACUAGACAGGUUACAUUGCCCAAGACAAAGUCAAGUAAAUCCAAGAAAUCAAAUCCUUGCCCUAAAUCUGAUGGAUGUGCACGUUCUUCAAUUAAUGGCUGGGAGUGGCACACAUGGUCACGUAAUGCAAGUCCUGCUGAAAGGGCGCGUGUUAGGGGCAUUCACCGUGUUCUUGCCAACCUUUCAAGUUUUGAGGCUUAUACUUCUCAUUUGACGAAUGGUAAGGUUCUUUCUGCGAGAACAAACAGGGUGAAGAUGCGCAAUCUCCUUGCUGCAGCUGAUGGUGCUGACCUUUUGAAAGCUACACAAUUGAAGGUAAUUGAAAAUGUAAUUCAUUUUGGAGUGGGCUAUAUUUUCUUUGAUUGUUUUAAUACUUAAUCUUCUUUAGGCAAGGAAAAAGCGCUUGCGUUUCCAACGGAGCAAGAUUCAUGAUUGGGGUCUUGUUGCCCUGGAGCCUAUCGAGGCUGAGGAUUUUGUAAUUGAAUAUGUUGGUGAACUAAUUCGUCCUCGAGUAAGUUUAAUUUGAGUUUUUAGUUACUGGUGCCAGUAUAUUACACAUUUUCAAUUGCUUCAUCCUUUUGCUUCCGAUUUCUUCUUCAUUGUUCUCCUAUAGUUGUAGCAAUCAGUUCUAUCCCCCUCCUUUUCUGGUUGAAUAUUUUUGUUGCUUUUUAAUUUCGUGAACCUACUCUGAUUGGGUAUGCAGAUAUCCGAUAUACGUGAGCGUCUUUAUGAGAAGAUGGGAAUUGGCAGCAGUUAUCUUUUUAGACUUGAUGAUGGUUAUGUGGUUAGUAUUCCUACAGUAGAGCUUUUAGAUUGAAAUUAAUUAUGCUAACUUGUUUGAGGAUAUUUUAUAUAUUGUUGCCUCUGGCCCCACCUUUCCUCAUAUUUGCCCUGAAUUUAGCUUUCCAUGUGUUUUGUCCUGUAAUUCUACCUGUUGCAUGUUGUUUUAAUGGUCUAUUUAAUUAGAUUGCAAAAUAUUAUGAAACACUUUUCCCUAUCCCAUCCGAAAUCAUUUCCAGCUUAAAUUAUUUUCAGGACACAGUAGUUGAUGGUAUAUUGAAGGGCUUUAUAGAUACAUACAUUUUCUUCUGUGUCUUUGAUUUGUGUUUUUUAGUAAUAUUUAUAUUUAUAUAGAUGGACAUUGGGCUGGUGUUUGUUUUAACUGCACUAUUUUUAUUUUUAUUUUUAUUUUUUAUUUUUUAUUUUUUUUUUUAUAUGGAUGUGGAGAAUCUAGUGUUGGUAACUUUUGAGAUACUAAUUGGAGAUGAAUGAGCUUCAUGUAAUCGUGCAAAACUGAAUUUAUUUAUUCAAUGUCUAUAUGAUGGUAUGAGCUUGUGUAGCAACCAAUUGGCAUUGCUAUUCAAUUUGCAGUAUUUGGAGCUUCUCAAAACAUGGUCUAGGAAGAACCUGGAUGCUAUAGCUUUUUGAAAACCAUUAUUCACUGAAAGUAGUUAAACAACCUGCAUGAAAAAAAUGUUCAAAGUCAAUAUUGAAAAGCAGCACCAAACUCAAUUCUAAGUAGAUCCAUAGCAAAUAUCUUGUCCAAACAACAUAAGUGACAUCUAUUGGGGUCAGAGACUUGCUAAACCUUCUGUUAUCACCAUUGGAUGGAUAUUUUUCAUUUAUAAUUCCAUGAUAUAUGCUAUAUUAUUGUCGGAACAGGAAACUUACUGCUGCACAUUCUUUCUGCAUUGUGUAGGUUGAUGCUACAAAACGUGGGGGAAUUGCAAGAUUCAUAAACCAUUCUUGUGAGGUACCUGCACGAGUUUAAUUGGAAAAUAUUUGUCUACAUAAAAAUGGGUUUAUUUAUUGAUUCUUAUAAUUUAAAGUUGAUGGUCUUUGCAGCCCAAUUGCUACACAAAGGUCAUAAGUGUCGAAGGUGAGAAAAAAAUUUUCAUUUAUGCGAAACGACACAUAGCUGCUGGGGAAGAAAUCACUUACAACUACAAAUUUCCUUUGGAGGAGAAAAAGAUACCAUGCAACUGUGGUUCCAGGAAGUAAGAUGGCUAUGCAUGUCUUUAACUUUGUGGCAGUGUUUGUUGCCAGUCUUGAUGGGUUUUUAUAUUCAUUAAUAUUUUUUGACACAUUUUCUUCAGGUGUCGUGGAUCAUUGAAUUAGGAAGUAUUCUCAGUUGCCAUUUUUGGUAAGUGCAAUAGUUAAUUAUUUCUUGUAAAGAACUUUGAUUUAGAUUAUUUGUGAUGCUUUCUUAUCUCAUGCUCAUAUUUUUGUAGGCUAUACUUUGGAGUUUUAUUCCUGACUCUGUAUGUUUGCUAUCAACAGAUGUCGAAGGUACGUCUGAUUGCUUUCUCCUCCAAAUUAUGUAGAUGUCCAGUUGUACUUCGAGCUGUUAAUUAUAGUUCUUGCUCAUGCCUUUUUCUUUUUUUAAUUGUUUUUUGCAUUUGAUGGGGGUGCUCUUGAUAUAGAAAGGCAUAGUUAAUUCUUUACUUGAUAUGUACAAGCCACAAAUGCCUUCUUUGGCUGAAUUUAUAGUGGUGCAGAUCACCGUAGCUGUGAACAUUUGCAAAUUGUUAGUAUUUCAAGUUCUGUUAAAAGUGAUACUAACCUAUGGCUUAUUCAACCUGGAAUGCAUAUGUAUUUCUUGUUUGGCAGGCUUGUCAAUGCGCAAUUGCGCGUGCCUGUAGUUCAAGAAUAUUAGGUUAAUUAAAUUCCCUUUCCCUUUCCCUUUCCCUUUCUUCCAUAGUUCCAUGGUGGGCCUUGAACUGGCAGAUUCAACCUUGAUAAACAACCAAGUGAACUAGAAACUUGGGAGAUUGGACAAAGUUGCUCUGCACAUCUAGGGUAUAUAAGAAACGUACUUUCAGGUUCAGCAAAGCAAAUUGAAUGCCUCUUGAAACUUGUCUAAUUAGCCAGUUAGCUUUACACUUUUACAAUGAGCUGAACAAAAAAAAAAAUGAAGUUCCAUUAAUUGAUAUAAUUACAUUGAAAUUUCUAUUUUAAAUAUUACUUUUCUAUUAAGUUUGUUUUGUCAUAUUUUAAUGAGAUACUUGUUCAUGCACAUCCACUCGACAGUCUGAUAUUUUUUGAUCUAUAUCUCCAAUAGAAAGGUUUUAGAUUGGAAUUAUGCAGGACAAUGUGGUAUCUAUUGCAUUUGCUAUGCUGCAGAAUGCUUUAACUUGUAAAGCUUGGCUGGGGCUUGCUUAUUAUUCUUUGUUAUUGAUUUUCCAAGUUAGUGAAUGUGCUUUGUUAUGAUCAUGCAAAUUCUAUUUUGUAGCUGACGUUUAUUAAGGAGUUGGAUUGUUCAGCUUGACUUCAGAGUGCCUACCUAAGAAUCUGGUGCUUGGAAGUAUUUCAUGUUUGUAACAAGAUGAAUGAGCUGCAGUCUGGUAGCAAAGUGCAUUGGCUGGGUUUAUCGUCAAUUGUAUGUUCCUAAAAGCCUACUGUUUGAAUAAAUUUGAAUAUUAUUUUCACUUAUUCAUCAGCUACGAUUCCCCCAACAUUUUUAAACAGUGAAUUAAGUAAAAUAUCGGGUUCAUAAUUUCCAUGUAUUUGGUUACAAGGAAUGAAGUUUAAAGAUGAAUUUAUUUAAAAAUUGUUUUUUCUUGCUAAAUUGCUUUUCUCCUGUACCAUAUAGCUAUAUGGUGACAAAGCCUGGGUUUUAUCCCAAGUGACUGUUGGAUAGAGUUCAUUGUGUUUGAAGUUCAUAUUAGUUAAAAAUAAUAAUAAUAAUAAUAAUAAUAAUAAUAUGGAACAUGGUACAUGUUUGUGGAUGAUCUCUUUCUUCUCUCACUCUCACACAACCAAUGUACAGACACAUGGUUUAGUAAAUUUUUGCUCUUGUAUUCAACUUCUGCUUCUUUGUUUGGAAUUACUAUGAUAAUGGGAUUCUUUUUUUGCACUGAUUAUGGCACUAUCUAGUUUGUGAAACCUAAGUGGUUUCUAAGUCCAGGGUUCACAAUCACAGCAUGUUUAUUAACUUGGCGAUGCAUCUGGAUACUCAUUUCAAUGUAAUAGGAAUUGGGAAAAAGGUUAAUGGUUGAGUGGAUGUGGGCUUUUGGGUCAGGGAUAAAGAUGCUAAAUCUGUAAAUUGUUGCCUUAUACAUGGACAAAUUUAAAUAGGUGAAAAUAAGCGUGUAUUAUUCUUCUUCUGAUUAAAAUGACAGAUGAUUAUGCGCAAUGUGGUUUCUUGAACAACUUGAAUUGUAAUUUUUUUUUCUUUGCUGCCUAAAUAAACUUAAGACAUUUUGGCGUUAUGCCUCCUGUUCUGUAUUCCUAAGUGGUGGGUUUCUAGGGCUGGAAACUAGUUAUUCAGAACUUAGCUUAAUAAAGGCUUUGCUUGAACUUACACAGUAACAUCAAAGAGUGAAGCUCAAAUUUACUUUAAAACUUCUUUAAUAAACAUAAUGUGGUUUGGCUGGGUGAAGCUCAACUCAUUUGAAUUUGUAGAUAACCCAUUACUAAUUUGAUUUUUGAAUUUAUAAGAAAAAUAAAAUGACUUAUUGAUUUGUUUCUUAGAAAAUCUAUAGAAAGUAUGAUUUUUUCAGUUCUAUAUAUAUAUAUAUAUAUAUAUAUAUAUAUACUUGUACUAUGGUCUCCAAAAGUUGCUUCCUUUAUCGUAUUUAUAAUAUUAUAAUAAUAUUAGAAACCAGGAAUAUUUCAUUUUUGAAUAAAUCUGGACUGGUUUCAUUUACAAUUGAAUCGAAUUGAGAAAUCUAUUAGUUUAAUUUCAAUUGGUUUAGCUCUGUUAUAAAUGAAUUGGAAUUGAGUUUAAGUAUAAAGCUCAUGUUAUAAACAGAGUUCAAGAACCAAAAUUUGACUAGGUGCAGCUCUUUUGCAGCCCCAUAGUAUUCUUUAUAAAAUCAAGGUACUCUGCUCAUCUAUUUGUUCCACUAAUGAUUCUGCAGAUAAUCCAUGUUUUUGCCGGUAAUCUAGCCUCUGAUUACUUGAGUCACUUGCGCUCAUUUGUUGGGACUGAGGAUUGGUAAUUUUUGCUUUUGGUUUGCCAACUUAACCAAAUAGUGAUAAUGAUAAUGGCAAGGGCGAUGGGGUUGAUGCAUUGCUGUUUUGUUUCAGGUUCUGAAUGAUAGGCGUCAAUAAAGGCUGGGUUGUGUGGUUGUGGUGGUUUUUCCAUUGAAUUUUUCACCUACUGGUGUUAGAUGAUGUACAAAUUACUCGUGGAUUCUUGUAGAUCUCUCUCUGCUGCAGAUGAGUUUCUCCUCUUAGAAAGUCCAAAUCUUAGAAAUAUGAAUUUGUUUCAUGCUUACAUGACAUUUUUUGGAUUUCAGUUUGUUGUACAAACAUGCAUUGUUAAAUCAUAUAUUCGAUAAAAAUGAAAUUUUAUUUAUAAGAAGAAUCAUAGAAAUUAUACCGAUAUGCUUGUUUUCCUUUUUUUUUUUUUUUUUUUUUUUUUUUUUCUGGGUUAGUGAUGAAGUGCUUUGGUCUGCAACUAAACAUGUUCUUUUAUCUUGGAUCUUGUUAUGAAAAAUCAGUGGAACUGAAGAAAUCUGGGGUACGUUGCUCUUUUUUUUCCUUCGGGAUAAAGUAUUUAUGUUAUGAAAGAGUACAAAAAAAGAUAACUAAUACUUCAAUACAGGAGAGAUUGCAACCUGUGUUGUCGUGUCAACCUGAGUUGAUGGAGAGCCAUCUAGAAUAUUUGCUUGUAAAAUAAUUAAUGUCUAAAGUUUUACUAGCUUUGGUGAGAUUAACAAGCCCAACAAUCUUUAAUGGGUCAUGGCCUUGAUCAUAAAUAACUUCUUAAAUGAAAAUCUGAUAUCCAGUUUACAAUUGGUGAUGCUUCAAACUAACAGGGAAGGCAAGGAGUUGCAUGAUUUAACAAGCAAAAAGUUUUGUACUUGAGAUGAAAGUGAAGGCAAUGAAUGGAUAAAAUAUGCUUGCUCUGGUGCCAAUUAGAUAAAAACCAAUUCUUGUAGCUUCUUCUAGCCUUUCGAUGGGCAAGGUAGGCAAGUCACGUGGUUAAAACUGGCAUGUAUGGAAUCAGAAACCAAUCUCGUGAUUGUUGUCCAUAAUAGUUACUUGGUCAGGUGGGAUAUGAUGCCAGUCACCGGCACUUCAAGUCUUCAAUCAUGUAUUUAUUUUUUCUCUUUUGGCAAAAUUUAUUUGCAUUUAUGGAUGAGAGGCUGUAUGAAUUUCUUUUUAAUUGUGUUGUUUUUCCUUAAAUUUCUUUUGGUUGCAGGGGUUCAAGUAGAAACCGUUAUAGCUGUUGGGGUGGAGAUCUCUUAGUGGCCUCCGGGUAUGUUUCUAUUUCUGUUUUUAUGAACUGUAAUAAGAGAAUGGAGGUUCUCAUCCAAAUACUAAUUGCAAGUACUAAUCAAGAAUCCUAUGUUAAUGGAACACUUUCCUCUCAUCCAUACAUAUAUAAACAGUUUCACUGAAAUUAACUAAUGUAAAAAGAAAAAAAAAAUGUUUAAAAUAUGGAAACCAUAAAUUUGACACUAUAAUGUCUUUGAUUAGUAUACGGAGUAUCAUAUAAUUAAGACACAAUAAGGUAUCAUCAGAUAACAUAAUAUAAUUAAGAUACAAUAAGGUAUUAUCAGAUAACAAUAACAUCACACAAUUUGUAAUCGUGGCUCUCUUGCAUCCAAUUGCAAGUCAGCUAGUGGUUUAAUAUGAGGAUGACAAGUUCACAAUUUUUACCUAUUUCUUGACCAAGGGAAGGAUGUUCUAUGAGGUUUUAUCAAAUUAUGAAGUAGGCCUGUUCAUAGAGUAACUCCGCCUGUGUCCUUUUGUUUUGUUGAUGCACAGCCGGUCCCAAGCCCGGAUAAAGGAGGAGGGUUGUAGCGAGUCAAAGAAAUUCUUAUAUUAUUUCAUUAAAUUAGAGGGUAUUAGGAAAUAAUUAGCGAUUUAAUGGAAUUUGAUAAUCCAUUGAUUAAUUCAACUAUUGAAUUGGGAGAAAGGUUGUAAAUUGUAAUGGGUAGCAAAGGUUAAAUUUGGCAGAUGCUACCAUUUGACAUUUGUCGAACAACUCCAAUUGUCCUAACAAUGAGGAGAAUGAUGUUGCCAUCUUUAUUUUUCGGUGUUUGCCAUGCAAGUCGUCUUAUCAUUUUUCGUUUAUUUUUAAAAUUUGUAGUCAAUCUUCGAAGUGUUAUAUAUUCUUACUUCUUUCCUCGUAUUUCCAGCCCCUCCCAAUGGCUAUCCUUAUUAUUAUCUAAAAAUAAAUAGGUUGUUAAUAAUAUUAAUAGGUUGUUUUGAUGUGCUUGGCACUGGAUGUGUUCCUUUGCAAAGAAAGAAAUAAAUAUUAACGGUAAUGGCAUGCAAUAUAAGAUUUUACUGUAAUGAAAUGUAAUAUGAUAUAUAUAACAUUACACUAAACAUACAUGUAAUUAUAAUUUAUUAUAGCCUGAUUCAUAGUCCAGAAGUUAAUAUUUGUUUUUUUUGGUUGUGAAUGUGGAGGAGGGGACAAAACCCAAACGAGGAUUACAAAAGUUGUCUAGGCCAAAAAUCCUAUCAGCAUCUACCAAUUCUAUA
Molecule: long non-coding RNA, 76552 nt
Filed under: Jatropha curcas
Lineage: Eukaryota; Viridiplantae; Streptophyta; Magnoliopsida; Malpighiales; Euphorbiaceae
Source: RNAcentral